UUUUUUUUUUUUUAUAAAAAAAUGGUGCUAUAUAAUUUUUUUAUUAAAAAAAAAAAUCAGCUUUAGAACAAAUAUUAAAAAAAAUCUUGAGUUUUUCAAGAAAUUUAUUAACUUUUUAACAAGUCUUUUGUAUGGUAGUAUUAUAUUUAUAGUAAAAAUGCGGCAUUUUGUUGACCUAAAUAUAUAUCCAAACGUUAGUAAUAAUCAAUACUUGACCAAAAUAAUAAUAAUAAUAAUAAUAAUGAAUACUAUUAUUAAUAUUAUUAGCCUAUUAAUAAAAAAAUAUAUAUCACCAAAAGAAAUAAAAAUAUAAUAGCCAGAAAAUUUAUACAUAACCAUUAUUAAGGGCAGUUUUAAUUAUUUUGUUCAUUUAUAGAAAAUUUUCUAUUGAAAAUAAUUUAUGAUAAAAAAGUGUGUAUACAAGAGUAAGCAUGAUAACGAGGCGGGAUAGAGGUAGAUUUUUUCCUUCACAAAAUCAUAAAGUUUAGGUAUUUUCAACUCGUUUCAAUUCUUUACGGAAAUGAAAAGUACGCAGAACUCAAACUCAUAUCCAACGAGGUACAUAUAUUUUUAUAUGGAGUUUGGAUAUCUCCAUCCCGCCUUGCCUCUGUAUUAAUUUGUGGUGCGCUUUGGUAUUUUUACUUUAAAAAAAUUAAAAAUCCAAAAUUAUUUUGUUUCAACGAUAAGAGUUUUCAAACAAAGGAAAAAAAAUAUAUAAUAUGAAUUUUCAAACAAAGAAAAAAAAUAUAGAGAAAACAACUUAUUUAAUAGUCAACUUUAAAAUAAAAAUAGUUUAAUUUGUUUAAAUAAUUCUAAUUUAAGAGAGUUAAAAUGUAAUUUUAAUAUAUGCGAGACAAAUUCAAGAUGAGUAUCAACACCAUAUUAUCUACCACAACCUUAUCUUUUAAAAUUGAAAAAAUAAAUCUAAGCUCAAAUUUAAUCAAUUUAAAUUUUCUUCAUUAAAAUCGAAGCGAAGAGGGGAUGGAUACACAUAGAUAGGGUUGAGCACGGACCCGCAACCUGACUCGAAAUCAACAUAACCGCCAACAUAUGGAAGCACUCAGUCGGGUGCAGGUCGGCUCUCAGGUCAACAAUUGUGAAAAAUUGGUCAUAAAAUGGUUGUAUAGGGAUCCCUAAAAAUUCAUCUCUUCAUAACCAAAACUAACCAAACAAUAACUAAAAUUCAAUUUUUUUUUUGGUUCCGAGCACAUCUCUCUCUCUCUCUCUCUCUCUCUCUCUCUUGUACUAUGUUUGUUUCGAUAGAUUUAUGAGAUAGAGAAAUAAAGAAGAGAGAGAUGACAAAGAAAUAAGGUAUUUCAUCGGUUUGAAUGAAGAGAUAAAUAAGGAGAGAGAGAAGUUUUUCAGAUGGGUCUCAUACUCUCAUGCCAAAAGAAAUCUCUCCACAAUAAGUGAGAUUUGUGAGUUGAUGGAGUGGAGAGAUGCAGUUUCCGACAAUGUCCUUCUUGUUAUUUUUGUUGAGUUUAAAUAUUCAACUAUAUUUGAAUUUUAAAUAUGAAGUAUAAAUUUGUCUUUUUUUUUUGUUAAUUUCUCUCUAUCCAUAUUUCUACUCAUCCUCUUCUCUAUUUCUAUUCAUCAAAAUAAUAUAGAAUUUCCACUCAACUUCUCUCUUUCUCUUAUUUGUCUCUUCAUUAUUUCACUCUUUCCUAUUUAUCUGAACAUCCAAACACAGUGUUAAUUUUUUAUACUCUUCGCUUUAUUGUUUUUAUCUAUCUUUGAUAGAUGAGAGAAAUAUUAUAUUUUACAAGUUUAAGCUUGUAAUAUAUUGAUAAAGGAGAUGUGAAAGAUAAUAUUCUAGAUUUUUCUUAAUUUUUGCUUCUCAUUUACUUGAAACAAAGUAAAUACAUAUUUCUCUUUUUGUUGUAUCAUUUGUUGUAUUUGUAUACGAAAUAUUAAACUAUUUGAAGAAUACCAAUUUUUCUAUCAAUGAAAUUUUAGAUAUAACUACAAAGUUUCAAACUAACCCGUUAAAACUGACCCGGUAUGCAUCCGAAGCUGAUCGAUGCUAACCACUGCCCAUAAAUAGGAGUUCUAACUUCUAAAUUCUAAUGGCAUAUGCAGGUAGAAAGUUCUUGUUUGGAGCAUGUUCCCCUUUCUUACUUACAAAAGAAACGAAGUAAGAUGAUAGAUAGUGAUAAUCCACCCACUUGGCAAUAAUAGCAUGAAAUGAAUAAGUAGUACUAUUUUUUCCAUGUCACGAGACGCGCAUAUGAACUCACGUCACGCACGACUUGACUCUAUCCAACGUUAAUCCAUCCCACCACUAUUCUCUUUAAACUUCUCAAUCAAGUAAGUUCCAAACAACACCUACCAAGCAUGACUAUAAACUCCGUCACGAAAAUUCUCUUUCAGACUCAUUUUCAUAUAUAUAUAUUUUUUCAUUAAAUAGAUUUAAACAAAAUAAUAAUUUUUAAAAGUUUUUCUCCAUUUAUUACAAGAUUUUUUAAAAAUUGAGAGAAUCUCCUUUUUUAAUUCUUUAAAUUAUAUAACCAAGUGGGGUCAACAUAUUUACAAUUAAGUGCAUUAAAAAACCAAUUAUUAGUUGAUUUUGUCCUGUGAUUGAAACAAAAUUUGAUAUAGAGGAUCACGGUUCGAUCCACCAUAAUUGUGAUUGGGAGAGACUGAAACCAUUUGAUACGAGAACUGAUUCUCAAAUCAGAUUAGACAGUCCAAUAGACAGAAUAUUGGUGGUAAAAAAAAAUCAGCCAAACGUCCCGAUGAACAUAUACUUAAUUGAUAAAAACAUCACAUGGAAUAUAUAGAGAUCAAAACUCUAGUACUUGCGGUCAGAUUCGCAUUAUGUUAGUUUUAGUGUUACCAUCCACUAAUAAAAAAUUGUUUUUUUUUGGAAUAAAAAUAGUUUUUUUUUACUAAAAAUUGACUUGCUUAAAUAUAUUAUUAUUAAUUUAAAUUAAAAAAAGUACCUAUUAUAUGAUUGUAAAAGGAGGAUUAUCAUUAAUAAAACACUUAUUUGUCCUCUCCCCAAAAAAAAGUUUGUCAUUUCAUUUGAUUGGAAAAUGCUAAAUUGUGUUUCAGGGCCACUGUUUAAGAAUGCAAAUAUAAUAAUAUUGCAUCGAAAUUUGUACAGUCAACUUCUCAAAAAUAUAAAAAAUAAUAUUUUUAAUUCAAUUUUUUUUUGGGUUUUCUUAACCGGUGCUAGGGUUGGGAAUAGGCCAGGCGGCCUACAAGCGCCUUCGGUCUGGCCUGUGUAAGCCUAACCUGACCUGUUUAUUAAAAAUGUCAGGCUUAGGCUUUGAAAAAAACAUGUUUACAUAAAUAGGCCAGACUAAUGCUUCUAAAAAAGCCUACAAAGCAUGAUAGAUCAGCCUGUUUAUAUUUGAUUAUUAUUAUUUAUAUAAUACUAUUAUUUAUAUUUUUUUUUUGUCAAAGAAAAUAUAUAUUAUUAUUUAAUCAUAUUUGUUAUUUUAUUAACUUUUAAUUAUUGUGCUAAUCAUUUUAUUAGCUUUUUCUUAAUGUUGAAGAAAUUAUAAAAAUUUAAAUGUGAAACAGGCCUGACUUUUAAGGCCUGUUUAGCCUAUUUAAAAAGACUAUAUAGAGGCAUUUAUGUAACACAGACUUUUAAAAAAGCUACAAGGUCAGGCUUUAAAAAGGCUCAGGCCAGACCAAAAUAAAUAUCAUUUGAUAGGCAGUAGGCCAGGCUCAAACCUGAAGAAAAAUCGUAGGUCAGACUCAGGCCUAUCAAGGUCUGGCCUGUUCCCAACCCUAACUUAGCAUUACCCUAUUUUAUUUUAUUUUAUUUUAUUUUAUUUUUUCUUUCUCCCAUUGAAAAACCGUGAGUAGUAAGAAAAGUACUCAACGAAAAGGCAACGGGGAAGCUUCCUUUUUUCCGCAAUAUAAUCCCUCAACUCUACAAGGAAAACCCACAACGCAAAAUCCAUUUUUUAAUUAAUUAAUUCAUUCAUUCUUUCGAGUAAUCACUAAUCAAUGACUGGAAUUGGGAAGAUGAGGAGAUCAUUCUUGAAGAAGUUGAAGAAAGAAACAUUGAGGUUGAAGUUUCUUUGGUCAUCAUCAUCAUCAGUGUUCAAAUGGAACAGGCUUACUUUGCCUGUUUCAUUCAUGGAAGAUGUUGUUUUUAAGGUUGUUUCUGCUUUUGAGGCUGUUGUUCUUGUUCUUACCUUAUGUUUUUUUUACCUCUGUUGUGGUUGCAGCUUCUAAUUAAUCUCUCUCUGCUUCUCUUUCAUGUAAUGUAAUAUAACUAACUAUUUAUUUAUCUCUAAUCUCCAUCAUUUUGUUAUUAUUCUCUAUGAUUAUGUAAUUAUCCUCUUUAAUUGUCAAAUAUUUGGGUUAUAACUUAUAAUGAAAAGUCUUGAUGAAUUAUUAUUAUUAUUCACUUCUCUUACAUCAUCCAUGUAUUGUGUGCAUGAUGCUAUAGCCAACAUAGUUCAAUGUGAUUUCGGGAGGCGUCCGUGAAGUACUAACACCUGACACGCCUAAUCUGAGAAGUGUUUGUGAUUAGCAAACAUGAAAAUGAUACUUGCAGAGUUUUACUAAAAUUUUCCAUGUGAAGAAACAAAUUUCCAUUUCACAAAUGUCAAAUUAAAUACAUGAUGACAAUGGGUACUUGCUAGUAUAAUAGGUCUUGAGGCAAAAAAGAGUAGAUCUGAAUCUGAUCAUCAAUCAUGAUACCACCCAUUGGUCAUUAGCAGAUCUUAUAUUCUUACUGAAGCCAACAUUGUCCCAAGUGACUUCACUGUAAAACUUUCUGUUUCAAAGAUUAAUGUUGCAAGAUAAAUAAAACAAUAUCAGAAUGAAAUAGAUCAAAUUAUAAAAAUAUUUUCUACGCGUCUCAAUUCGAUCUAGCAAGAAAUGCGAGAGAGCUCAUUAAGAAAGAAGCCUGCAAGAGGAUGCGCGAACCCCCAAGUCAAGCGCGCUAGCGCUUUACCAAGGCUUCCUCCGACUGAUAGGGGCUUGCCGUUGCUUGUUUGGGUUGAGUGGAUAGUAUGCGCCCUUUGGACUUUUCAAACUUAGUGAACUAAAACAUCUUAGUAGCUAAAGGAAGGGAAGUCAACCGAGACCCGUUAGUAGUGGCGAGCGAGAGUGUUAAAACAUGGCAUCCAUCAAAAUAAGAGAGAAAAGCUUAAAGACUAUACUGUAUUGGUGGUGGUAGAAAUGAUAUAAAAUACCAACAAUGAAUUGGUUCAAAUGGUAAGGGUUUUGGACUCCUGAAAUAGGUGGUCAAGGAUUUGAUCUCUGGUUCCUACGUAUGAAAAAAAUUCAGUUGGAAGGAGGAGAACACACUUUGUGUGCCCCACACAUAACUUGACGGAAAUUAGAGUCAAAAUGAGUAAUAAUAUACAAAAUGAAAAGAUAGUACAAAAUGAGUCUACCUUAUGACUUAUUUCUUAACUAAGCAGUCUAAGCUUAUACACUAACUAACAAGUAAUCUUGAUCAACUAUUUUCUCAACACAUAGUUUGUAAAACUGUAGUAAUGGAAAUCAAAUUAUUCUUGUGGAAGAUUGGGCCCAAAAUUCUAAUGAAGAAUGUUAACAGGAAAUAGCGAGCCAUGACCAAUGACGCCUUAUGCGCCCUAUCUGCAAUUUGGAACCGAAGACUAUGCUAGCUUCAUGCUUUCAAAGAUUGUAUGGCAGGCUAUGCAGGUUUGGAGAUUUUUCAAGUUUGUUGAUACUGAUCCUAUGUUCUUGAGAUCCAAUUCCAAUUUAGAGGAUUGGUUUACAAUUCAACUUGUGCAGAAAAGUAAGCUAUAGAUGAUAGUUGGAGUACUGUUUUUGCUGCUGUUUUGGAUAGAAUAUGGUGCACUAGAAAUGAGCUGUUCUUCAUGGCAAGAGUGUCUAAUCACUGUAAUCUCCAAAUCCACGUCCAAUACGUUAUUGAAGACAUCAAGAGGUCUAGUGAGGAGGAUAUUGUCAUUAGUGCAGGAGUUCGGAGACGGACACUCAGCUCCGGAUAAAGGACUGAUCAAAAUUAAUUGUGAUGCUGCUGUUGUGUAAAUGGUUAUGCUGGAGGAGGCGGAGUAGCCCGCAAGAGGCUAACAUUUGGUCACUAACAUUUACAUAACCAUAUUGCGGGCUACUCCACCUCGACCAGCAUAACCAUUUACACAACACUUGUCUUCCAGCUUGGAUGGCCACUAACAUUUGGCCACUAACAAUUGAGCAUAAAGAAAAAAGGAAAGAACAGAAUAGAAGACCUUACAACAAUGGCAGAAGCUAUGAAUAGAAGACCUGACAUCAGUGUAAAACUUUCUGUUUGAAAGAUUAAUGCUGCAAGAUAUUUAAAAAAAUCAGAAGCUACAAAUCAAAAUAUAUUUUUCUUAAAUCUAUUUAAUAUAUAAAUUAGUUUUAUCUUCGCUUUAUUUUAUAAUAAUUGUGUAUAAAUAAUACAUCUAAAAUUGGUUACAUAUUAUUCACUAAUAAAAUUCCACACAUCUAGAAGCCUCUUUACUACAAAGUUUAGACAAAAACGAAAUUGUGAUUAUGGAAUCUUGGAUAGAAACAGACGAUAUUUUAGUAGGUAAAUUAAGGCCUCAAAUGGCAAAAGAAAUUCCUUUGUUUGGAGAUUAUUUUAUCACACAAUAUAAAAAAUGAAAUUAUAGAAUAAAUUGUUACCCAUGACUAGAUCUCGGAUAAAUGGAAAUUUGUGUAUGUUAAGUAAUUUAAUUUUUUACCUAAAAAAUCAUCUAUAGUAAUUUUAAUCGUGUAUGUUUAAGCUUUUGAAAUUAAUCAAAAUUUUAAAAAUUACUUUUGUGAUUAAAAUGAGUAGUUGUUACCACAAGGUAGACCAGGUCUACCUUGUGGUAUAUGAGCAGGGGCGGAUCCAGUGUGCAACCAGGGGUGCACCUGCACACCCUGAAUUUUGGGAAAUUACACCUAAUAUCCUAUAUUAUUUAUACUUUGCACCCCUGAAAAUUUUUCUUUACACUCUGGACCGAAUUGUUUACCUUUGUGCCCCAAUUUUGUGUCUCAUUGGUUAAUAAAGUGAUCUGUUUGUAGUUGUACAGACUGACCAUUAAUAUUUUCAUCUUUCUUUGCUGACAAAUUGACAAACAAUCUUUAAUUUUUCGUAUAUUUUUCCCUAAUAUUACAACUUUUUCAAAGUAUUGUCGGGUUGAAGUAGAACCUAUGUCUUAGCCUUAAGAAUGAAACUUUAACCAACAGAAUAUAUAGAAGGAUGUGUAUUACUUAUAUAGUUGCAACAUUGGUAUAUAUAUUAAUUAAUUACUCAUAUUAUAUAGUAUUAAAUUAAGUAAGACACUUAGUUUAAGUGAUUAGUGAGUGCUCCUAGAAUGAAUCGUUCGAGAGAACUCGGGUUUAAUCUAUGAUGAAAUUAAUUUUUUCUUAGACUUUACUUAUUUCGCGAUCGAAUUAUGAAUUACUCGGAUCCUCUUUCUCUGAAAAUCAAAGGAUUAAUACCAAAAAAAAAAUUAAAAUUUUUGCAUCCCCUAAACCAGGGUCCUGGAUCCGCCACUGUGUGUGAGUAUGAGUAUUGUAAACUUUAAGGUGUUCGAGUUUUAGUCUUGAUAAUUAAAAAAAUGAGAAGUUUUUUUUAGUAGUUUUUUUAAGAAAAAAAAAUAGUAUAUUUGAUUUUUUUUUUUUACAGUAAAAUAGUAUAUUUGAUAAACACAAAAGGAAAUGUAAAAAUCUCAAAAAUUAUUUUAUGUAAUAAUCACUUUUAUUUUAAUCAUAAACAAAUGAACUUAAUCUUCUCUAAUUAAACAAAAUAUCUAUCUCAAGAACAGGACAGUUCAAAGCUGCCACAUAUCUUAUCUGUUACUUUCCUUCUCUUGUGUACAAGACACAGUGCUUCUUCUCAAUCCAACCUUUGUUCCUGCUUUCUACUGAGAUUAUACACAAACAUGCAUUCCUUAACAUGCUUACCACUUUCUUCUCCUUCUUCAAUCACAACUCUAAAACCAAACCACAACAAUAACUCUUUAUUGAAUGCAACUUCAAGGCCAUGCCUAUUACCUUUAAAAAGAAAAAACAGUUUUACUCCUAGAGCAUUACUAUCAUCAACUAAAGAAUCUGUUCUUAAAGAUUUUCGUGAAAGAACGGCUCUCAAGGUAAAAUAAAACAUGCAAAACACAUUUGUAGCUGAUCUUUUCAUUGAUGAUAAAGCUAGGACUAAAUGUUGUAAUGUGUAUGUUGAUAAGUAUUUGGCUUUCUUUUGAAGAUUAUAACAGGUUUGCAGAAUUUUGAUAAAGAUAAUGUUGCAUCUGUUGUCACUGCUGCAGAAAAGGUUCUUUGCUUCACUCUUUCUGCAUUAUUUUUUCUGUCCUCAGUUUUGGUGAUUAGUACUCUAGUAUUUCUACACACUCAUGUAAUUUUCUUUGUACUAUCUCCGAUCUCAAAUAUAAGCAAAGAUUCUCUUUCUAGGUUUACUGAAUUAUUGAUGCGUUUAGUUUAUAAUGCAGACCAAAUACAUACUUGAAAAAGAAAUCUUUGCUAAUAUUUAAGACCAGAGUCUGACAACAGAUAAGCUGAAAAAGAACUUAGUGUUAUAUAUAAUUUGAAAUUACUUAAAUCUAGAAUUAUUUAGAGUUGUCAAAAUAUCUAUGUAAAAAUUUAGAAAUAUGAUUUUUUUUAUGCGUCAUGACUUAAAUUCUCCAUGUAUUUAUUGAUGAUAAAGCUAGGACUAGUGUUUUCAGGCUAAUUGCUGUGUAAUCUCUUCGGGCUUUGGCUGUCCAUUCUAUAAAAAAUUAAAAUUCUAAGUGAUGUUUUCUUAUGGUUUGUUUUUUCUUCUAUAAGAUGUUUCACAUACAAACUAACAUAGAACUAUGGAUUGUGAAUGAGUGUGUCUUGUUGUCCCCGUGCAGGGAGGAGCAACUCACGUCGAUAUAGCAUGUGACCCUGAGUUGGUGAAGCUAGCUAUCAGCCUAACUUCUUGUCCGGUAUACUCAAUGGUUUUCUUAUGAAUUUCUUAACACUCGGAAACAUAUUUUAUACAAUGUGUUAGUGUGUUACAUAGUUACUGAUCUCGACUGUCUAUCUAAAUCAAUGGCCGGGAUCAUUUAAAAUUGAUUUAGUGAAUGCAUAAUCUGAGUCGAUAGAUCUCAAAUCAAUGAUUGAGAUUUACAAUAUACUCUUAAUAAGUGUCGACAAUUUAUUAUUCAUCGCUCUUGCAGGUUUGUGUUUCUUCUGUAGAUCCUGCAACAUUUCCAGCUGCAGUUGAAGCAGGAGCACUAAUGGUUUGACUUUUUGUCUAGUUACAUUUCCAAUAUCAGUUCCAAGUUCAUACUGUAGUCAAAGAUGGGAUAACGAUAAACAUUUAAAGUCUUUAUGAGAUUUGUAUUUAACAUGAUAUUGCAUUGGCAGGUUGAGAUUGGAAAUUAUGAUUCAUUCUAUGAGAAGGGAGUAAUUUUUACUCCGGAGCAGGUAAAGAAUGGUUUUCAGUAUUCAAUCUUGAAUGUUUAAAACAAAUGAUGCACUGUAAGUGUAAAGGGUUUUACACCAUCAACCAAUCAUCAACCAUCAUUUUCAUGACUUUACAGUUAGUUAUGAUGAAAGUCAGACUUUUUUAAUAAUUGAACAGUUAUAGUUGACUGACAGUGUAAACAAUAUGUACACUAUCGGUGCAUAUAAAUUAAAUCCUAAUUUAUAUAUUGCAAGCAUGAUCUAUCUAUCCUUGUAUGCAGAUUCUGAGUUUAACAAAAGAGACUAGAAGGAUACUUCCUUCUGUAGUUUUGUCUGUCACUGUUCCUCACACACUAAGCCUCCCUGAUCAGGUAACAAUUACAAAUAGAAUUUAUACUUGAAGAGUGCAAAAUUAUGUUGAUUUAUCGAUAUUUUCCGAGUAUAAAUAAACAAAAAUUCUAAAACUUCAACAGGUCAAGCUUGCAGAGUCACUGGAACUAGAAGGUGUAGAUAUUAUUCAAACUGAGGGAGGAAAAUGUUCCAAUCCUACAAAGUCUGGUGUUCUAGGUUUGAUUGAGAAGGUAAACAGAAAAUAUGUUUCAUAAAUCAUGUUGUUAAGAGUCUGAAAAUAUUUAACAUGAUAGACAUGUGAUUCUGUUGAGUUUAGAUAAUGGUUGCUUGAGACAAACCUUUGCUUAAAUUAUCAAAAUUUUACUCGCUGGUUAUUGUAGGCGACACCAACUUUAGCAGCAGCUUAUUCUAUAUCACGAGCUGUUAAGAUACCUGUCAUGUGUUCGUCCGGGCUAAGUUCUGUUACAGCACCUAUGGCUAUCACUGCUGGAGCUUCUGGUGUGGUAAGGCUUUUUAUUAAAUCUCUUCCCACUUUAGCUUUUAUAGUAAAUCAGAAAUUGUAAUGAUAAGCGUACUAUACCUUUCUGGCGUGGCGAGUUAUUGAUCAUUGACUUUGGUUCGGUGUAUUUCCAAAUCACAGGGUGUGGGUUCUGCAGUUAACAAACUAAAUGACGUGGUUGCCAUGAUUGCUGAAGUUAGAAGCAUCGCUGAUUCAUUGAAGACGACAUCCUUUAAGACACGUGAAGUGGAAACUCAUAGACAGUAGUUCAACAUAUGUUGCAAAAAACAGCUUAAGGUGACUUAGGUAGUGAAUAAAACGUGUAAAGAAAAUCUGGAUCCUUCCUUAAGACUUAGAAUUGCUAGGAUCUAUCUUUCUUAUUUUUGUUUGUGUGGAUGUUGAUCCCAUAUUAUCAAAGAAUUGAAAUGAUUAGUAAGCUAUUUGGAGUUUUGCUUCCUUAAUGGAGUUGGUCAGUUGAGUAAAAUUAUGUGUUAUUCUGUUACCAAAGUAGUGCAUGUAUAAAGCUUUGUUUACACUAAGCAUUCACCAAAUGAUUCUAAAAUCAGACAUCAAAAGUCCUCAUAGAUACAACGAUGCCAUCAAAAGAUCUUUCAUUUGCAGCUUCGAAAUUCAUAGACACUGUUAUUUGCUUAUUAGUUGCAAAGCUCAUAGCGUAAUAUUUUUGCUAGAAGACAUGGAGACCGCAUGGUAAUGGAAAUGUCUGUGGAUAUUGCAUCACACAGAAUGAACCUGUUUAAAACAUAUAUGCCGAAAAGUGCGAUUUCAAUCAUCUAACAUAAGUACUUUAUUAAAACAAACCAACACAGAAAAAUGAUAAUUUUCUUUUUAUAAGCAGAAAAUGAUAAUUAUUCACAAGGACAAACUAAAGAUUGCUACAACUGAAUAUACAACUUAAGGUCCUCAAGUAGUUUCAAUUAAUACAGGUGAAGCCUUAUAAGUUACAAUCAAGAAAAUGAAUACAUGGUUUUACUCGUCAUAUUCGGACUCCUCGUCAGUUUCUUCAAAAUCGCCGUUUUCCUGCCGAGCAUCAGAAAACAAAUUGUAUAUUUAAUUACUAGCCAAACAAGAGUCAGUUCAGUAGGCAUGAAUAUGACAGAUUGGUUACCAUUUUCUUGUUAUAGUCUGUCAUUGCUCUAUCAAAUUCUGCACGUUUUUCUGUUGCUAUAUCAUAGUAUUUAACCUUCUCCUGUCAGAUACUAGUUUUGUUAACAUAGAACUCAACCAAAGUGAUGUUUCUUUUUUGGUCAGAUAAAAUUGAAGAAAAUAUAUGAACCACACAACUUCGCCAGGUAAUUAAACAGGAAACAAACUUGAAAAACUAGUUCUAUAUUUCAUUUGGAAUAAAUAGCAAAACGCUAAGCAGUAGCACAUCAAAAUCUGUUAACUCCACAUGCCUCAAUCGCAGGUCAGAUUCCACAGCGAAUGGCAUUUUAGAAAACUGGUUUUAACCCCUUUUCUUUCAUUUUCUCCAUUUCAGAUUUUGCUAGAUUUCAAGAUGAUUGCAUAGACACACAUAAACCGGGUGCUAUCAGGUCUGAUGAAUAACUAAAUGACUAAAUCAUCCUUCUUAAUGCCACCAAUAAAACAUAAAAAUCGAAAAAACACACUGUCCCUUAGUUAAUCAAGAAACUGAAGAUCAUGUCAGCCUGGAAUUCCGACCAGAGGAUACAGUUUUGCAACUUUUGCAUUACAGUAGCUGAAUUCCAAAAUUGUACAUACCAAGAAAUUCGAAAGUAGUCAUAAUGAAUUCCAACUGUUUCAAAUAUAACAAUAACUUGUUCUUCACAAGUUUUGUUCAAAAUUUAACUAAUCCAUAUUCAAGGAGGAAAACAAACCUCAUAAGUCAUUGUUUUCCAUUUAUCUCCACAUGCCUUGCCAAUCUGUAUGAACACAUGAAGGAGGAAAACAAAAAAGAAUAACAUUACUUAGCAUGAUGAUGAAGAUAACACAAUCUCAAGAACUAUGAUAUAACUAGAUUUUUAAAAAUUUAUGGUAAAUGUUUGUGUUGUUUAUAAUUUUAAACAAUCAAUUGUGCUACAAUCUUGCUUCAAGAGAAAUUAAAAGUAUAAAAUAAAUUAGAAGAAAUAUUAAAUCUGACAGAUUCUAUACAUACAUCACGCAUUGACUUUACAUCUGGAUUCUGGUCUUGAAACUCUUUCCGAAAAUCCACCCUUCCAAAUGAAAAAGAACUUCCAGUAAACGUAUUGAAGCAUUUUAAGAUUUUCCAUAUAAAAAAGAAGCAAUUGUUGUUACGUACAGUCACUAUGUUAGAUUAAUUAGCACAAUGUCAUUUAUAAAUGGUAGUAUGAUUGAACAAAGAACAAUAAGACACAGUAGAAGCAAGUCAAGGAAAUUAUCAGAAAAAAGAAAGAAGAAAAUAGUCAUUCUAAUUUGACUAAUGAUAACCAUGUUUGAAGAUGAGUAGUUAUCUCAACUCGUGAACGUGAGGUGGUGGUAAUGCUAAUAAACAAAUGGUUACUUCCUGAGCAUCAUUCAUCGAAAGUCAGAAUACACUCUACCUAAGUAAAAAUCCAUGAAAUACAACAGAAUGCGAUCAACUUCAGUGAUCGUAUAACUCUAAAGACAAAUACCAAGAUCGAUAGGAUGAAAAAAGAAAGCAAGUAUAUAACACCAACUAUAUUUGUUCAUCGACUUCAUUCUAAUACUGAAUCACUAAUGUCGAUGCUACUUUUUAUGUACAAAUAAAACUACUACCUAGACAAUACAAAAAAGAAACCGUACUGGAACUAAACUCUUAUCAAGUUAAUAUAUUCCUGUAAACACUUCAAACACAUUAAAAAGAGUAGUUUAUACUAACACAUUAAAAAGAAGAAUUAAACAUCAUAAACAAAGAACAAAAGGAGAUAAAAGAAGUUUUACAAGAAGUAGAAGAAAGCAGUGGGUGGUUUCUUUGGCUUCUUAGCAUCAAUCUUUUGUUUGUUCUUUUUCUGUUUUGCUCUGGUAGUCUCUCUUGACUUAGUCUGCCGCACCGAUCUCCUCAUCCCCUCGUUUGAUUUAACCCUCAACACUAGUUUACUGAAAAUCUCAAUGCAACAGUGUGGUUAGUUAAGGAAACUAUUUCUGCAUAUAGUUAAAUGUAAUAAUUGACAAAUACAGUUGAAAUUCACAUAAAAGUUUCAUGUCUAAAGACCAAAGCCAUCACAUAAAAGUUAACAACAUAUUUUCAAUAGAAAGAAAUUUAUCUAAAAGACUCAAAAGCCAAAAAUUUAAGAAAACAGAACCCGAUUUGACUGUAACAACUGAAAAUGUGGGUGAUUAAAAUUAAGUUAAAAAAUCACACAGUGGUCUUAAUAGAAGGAUUAAAAUUACAAUUAAACCUUUAACCAAAAUUUGGUUAGAAGCAAGGGAGGAGAAGGGACUAAAAUCCCUCCUCUGUGGAUUUUAAUUCCCAUCCAAUGAUUAAACCUUUAAACAAAAUUUGGUUUAAAGCAUUUUAAAUACAAUAAGGCCUCAUUUGGAUAAACAACUUAAUUAAGCAUGUAUAGCAUAAACGAUUAUCAUAUAAAUGCUUAUGUAUAACCUAUUUCUAUAGGAAAAAAAUAAAAUAAAAUAAAUAUGUUUUCAUAUAAGUUAUAGCUUAUUUUCAUAAACUAUCUUCAAGAGCUUGUGGAAAUAAAACUGAAAACAGCAUAUGGACAAGUCAUAAGUUGUUUACAUUAGCUCUACCUAACAGUCUCACAAGUGUUUAUGCCGGUAGAUAAACUCAGAUAAACUGAAAACAUCAUAUGGACAGUCAUAAGUUGUUUCCAUUAGUUCUACCAAAGAGUCUCACAAGUGUUUGUGUCUGUAGAUAAACUCGAAUAAACUGAAAACAUCAUAUGGACAAGUCAUAAGUUGUUUCCAUUAGUUCCACCAAAAGUCUCACAAGUGUUUAUGCCGGUAGAUAAACUCAGAUAAACUGAAAACAUCAUAUGGACAAGUCGUUCUACCAAACAGUCUCGCAAGUGUUUAUGUCAGUACAUAGACUCAAAUAAGUUUAAAAAUCUAGUCUUUCCCUUGUGAAUUAAACAAGGAGAGUAUUCCCUCUUUUGAACUAUAGUGAGUUUCAAACAAGUACAUGACUAGUACAACAUAAUUUUGGUAAAAACCCAACAAUCAAGUAAAUAAAUACCCUUUUGACUAUUACCUUUUUUGGGUUCCAAUAGGGAGCGUAGGGAAAAUGAAUAGAAGCGUGAAACAGUGAAGAAAAUGAAAAAGAAAUAGAGAAUAGAGUACCUGGAGGAAGUGGAAGUGGAGGCUGGAGAAACAACAGCGUUCUUAUUCUGAGAGGGUUUAGUCUUUUUCGCCAUUCGUGCGUCUCUCAACUUUCAACUCUGCNNNNNNNNNNNNNNNNNNNNNNNNNNNNNNNNNNNNNNNNNNNNNCCUGUACGAUUGCUUAUCAAAAAAAAAAAACUCUGCCUGUACGAUGCUUUAACAUCACCUUUUUUUUUAAUUUUAGGUUAAAUAUUUAUGUCAAAUAAAAAUAUUAACUUCUGAGUUCUGACAAAAAAUAUAUAAAUUUUUGGAGUAUUUUUUAGAUCAGUGUAACUCAUUUGGUAACUUUUGCACCGGUUUUGAACUCUGCCUCGUUGAAAUAUUGUUUUGAACUCCCCUCGUUGAAAAAUAAUUUGGGUAAUCCACGACCCAACUCAACUCGAAAAUUAGUGAAUUUAUUAAAUUCGGUCCAAUGUUAUAAUGAGUGUUUAUUUUAUUAGACCCAAAUGGUUCGAGUUUUGGUUUUGGCCAAAUGCAACCCAAUCCGGCCCACGUGCACCUCUAGAUUGAGAUAUGCUAAGGGCUCGAUUGAAUUUGACUUAUUUUUGAGGUUAUGAAAAUAGUUUGUGCAAAUAAAUAAAAUUUUAUGUUAAUUUCUAAGUUUUCACUAACAAAAAUAAUGCAUAAAAACUUAUAAUAAUGCAUAAAAACUUAUUUAUUUUGCAUAAACUGUUUCGUAUAAACUCAAAAAUAAGUCAAUUCAAACAUAUUUUUUUCAAAUUUAUCCAUUUGGUUUUUUUCAUAUGGUUUUGACUUUUGAAUAAACAGUAAGGACGGAAAAAGAAACUCUCUUAUAUAUUUUCUUUGCAAAAUUGUAUGCCUCUUCUAAAUUCUAGAUUUAGCAAUCUCAAGACCAAGAAAUGAAGUAUUUGAAUUGUUCAAGUACUUUCAAUUUGAACUAAUGCUGCAAUUUGAUACUGGCAAGAUGGACCAAAUGCUCGCUGGGGCUAGCAAUAGCAAUUACAUAGUGUGGUGCACUUUUAGGAGUUUUUUCUCUCCAAAUAAUUGUGCACUUCAAAUUCAACCACUCACACGUAAAUUCCAAUAAAUGCUAAUCCAUUUUUUUAAACUUGAAAGCUAUGAAGUCAUGAGGACAAAACAUGAGACGGACAUGACACUUACUUAAAUAUAUAAAUAUUGGGAAUAAUUUAGAAAUCGAAAGCAAUUGAUCGAACAUAGUUACAGAUGUCAUUGCAUGACACCAUACACACGUUUAACUUAAAGUGUCGGAUGCUACGUGAAUUUAGUUAUUUAAGAUAAUUCAGAGUCUAACCAAACAUUACAUGUAUUGUAAAUUUAUUACAUUAUGUUUGCUACUAGUACAUCAAGUUAGGGCCAGUAUUAAACUUGGCCUUUCCAAAUUUCCGAGUUCCACCAUUGUUGUUGAAUGCAUUUUUGGUUCUAUUAUUGAGAAGACUGGUCUAACGUCCAUUUGUAACUUGUGCACCAGUUUUGAAAUUAGCUUCAUCAAAAUCUUGACUGCCACCAGCUUGGUUGUUAAAGGCAUCAAUAGUGACAUUGUUUCCACCGUCAUUCCAACGAUAGAGAUUGUUCCUCCAUAAGUCAGCCAUUUUUCGAAAAGUUUAUGUGUUAAUCUCUGUGUUCUUGUGCUGUUUGUUUUGUCUUGGUGUUUGUUUCUAAUUGAAAACUAGCAUUUUAUAGAUACAAAAUAGUUCAAUUAUGGAGAAUCUUGUUAGUGAGGAUAAAUAAAUAAAUAAAUAUUGGAAUGAAUAUACACCAAAUACCAAUUAGAGUAUUAAUUCAAGAUAAGAUAAUCACAAAUUCUAUUUUUUUUACUUAAAGAUAAGAUAAUAACAAUUAUUGAUAGUAAAUGUUGCAUAUGCAUCUAAUCCUGAAUUUGAUUGAUUGAUAUGUAUAGCACAUGUUUGAAUUUAUGCUGGGAUUAUUUCUAGUUGAGAUUGUGAAAUCACCUUCGUCUCUUUUUUUCUUUCUUAUCCACCAACUUUGUUGAUGAUUGAUCUUUGAGGAGAGACAUGAAUGAUCACCUUUAAUGAAGACUCCAUCCACUUAACAAGUUGUCUACACAAAAGUGUUUAAGGUAAAAGUGUACAUCAAUCGCGUCUAUUUAGUUUGAGUCAAACAUCAUUUUGUUUAAUUAAUUUUUUUUCUUUGGGUUUUUCACCAUCAGUUGAAUCUGGUUCGGGGGUCAGUUUGUUUAAUUAAAUUUUAUCGGUUUAGAUUUGGUCAAAAUCUCAUAGCUUAAUGUUAAACUUCAUCAAUCUAACCUAAUAAUGAAUGAGUUUUUAGUGUUGUCAUCGGGUCAUAAAUAAGCUAUGAAAUGUACUAAAAUUUCAAAAAGAAAAUAAUUAAAUGAUAUUCUUUCAAAAUUUCAACAAUUAGACUACAUGCAUUACUUAAACUUUCAAACUUUUGAUUCAACACAUCAAAUUUUUAAUCUACAUUCACAAAAAUAAAAAAACUCAAAAACAUAAUAUCCAAAUCAAAUUAGCUAAGAGAUGUUCUGCACUUGUUUUGGAGUUGAGUGUUUCGUUUGAAAUAUUGUGAAAUUUUGCCAAAGUCGGAAACAAUAAUUUCGCCGGAAACUAUGUCCAUGGAUGAUGACGACAUUUUACAUCCCGUAACACUGAUAAUUUACUAACAUAUAUAAUUUAUUGGCAUAAUAUAUCUACCAAUAAACUAUAUUGUUCAAUUUUUUAUACAAUAGUUUUGUUCACUUAUUGAGGACUUUUUCCACCAAUAAAUGAUGAUUUUCUUGUAAUAAGAACUAAUUUAACAGUUUAAGUUUAAUAGAGUGAUAGACUUUUUUUUAGAAUAUUCAUAAAAAUCAAAAAUAUAUUUAAGAUUAACUAAGAUAGUGGGUUCUUUUCGGAGGAUGUGUCAUUUUCUUCAUUUUGAUAAAAAAAAAUGCAGUUGUUUCUUUAUUCAUUUUAUUUAAUAGUAGUUAUACAAAGAAAAAAGAAUAUUAAAAAGGUGUAUUCGUGAAAAUUCGUGUUCAAACUCUUUGCACCAUAUAUGAUAGUUGUUAAUAAAAUUAGUAAUUUCUAAAAGAAAAAUAAAAUUGUUGUGUAAGAAAAAUGUCAUUUUCUUUCCUAGCUACCGAUUAGGGGAUCAUGAUUUGAUGCAUUAAUAUUUUUAGAAAAAAAUGCAUAAUGCAAAAUUAAAUUAAAUUCAAGCAAUUAUUUUUAUAAUAAAGAAAAUCAAAUAUUUUUCAUAAUCAUAAUUUAAUAUAAAAUUUAGACUAAACAUUUUAUUGAAUAAAUUUCAAAUACUCCUUUCAAACAAAAUAAUGAUUGAAACAAAUCUGACUUGAGUAAUUCAAUUGUGAGUGCUUAUAUUAUAGAUGAGCAAAUUUUAAUCAUUGCAUGCAAGAAUAAUUAGAGCAUCUUUAAUUAAUGGUUAAGCUUAUAUAAGCACGUGAUAACGUUCGAGUCCAUACUAGGAGCUCUACCAAACUCAAAAUCUUAUCUCCCAUAUGUGGAUGAUACUAGUGCCCUUAAAUAGUAUUUUGGUGGUUCAUAGUGUAUUUAAAUGUAUUGAGUUUGAGGGUUGUUGUGUUUGCGAAAUGCUAAAAUUAUGAGUCUAAUUUGUAUAAUUGAAAGUGAAUCACACUAAAAAAAAUAAAUAGAAUAUAAAGUGGUUGAGAUGUGAUCAUGUCACAUGGAUGCUCCCAACCCAACUCCUAAAAAUAAUAUAAUGUAAUUGUAAUUCGAAUGAUAAAUUUUAAUAAUUUAUUUAUUUAAUUUUAUCUUUAAUUAUUUGAUUUUAAAAAAUAUUUUUCUUUUGGUGAAAGUAUAAAUUAAUAUUUUUAUGAAACUAUUACAUUGUUCUUGUGACUCAUCAGAUUCAUCAAAGUGAGUCGGAUCGGUAUAUUUGACAGCUUUAUUUGUGAGUAUCUCUCAUAUAGUACCAUACUACUAUAUGAGCCGGUUAAGAAAAAAUAUUCAAGUACUAGCAGUGACGGAGCCAAAAACUUUGAAUAAUGAGGUCAACAUUUAAGGAAACAAAAAUAUAAUAUUAAUAAGAAAUAUGUAUGAGUGCAUAAAUAACAAAUAAAUUGUGCCAAAAAUCAACUUAAAUAUGAGUAAUUAUUAAAUAUUAAACAAGUCUUGUUUAAAGAAAGGACAAACCACCAUUUUAGUCCUUGAAAAUGUAUCUCGGAGUCACAUUCGUCCUAGAAUGUAUCAAAAUUGCAAUUAGGUUUCUAAGUGUCUCUUUUAUUAAUCAUUUUGAUCUUCAAAUCUGAUUUUAGGUAGUCAAUUUGACACUCAAAUGUAUUUUACGCUAGUUAUUUUAGUCCAUAAAAUUACUAAUAAAGAGAUACUAUGGAUGUAUUUGCAAUUUCAAUAUAUUUAAGGAUCAAUAUAACAGCGAGUUACAUUUCAAAAGACUAAAAUGAUGAUUUGCCCUUAAAGAAAUGAAUUUAUAUAAAAGAAAAAUAUAUACAUGCAUAUAGACACACUAGGUCAUUUGUUGUUGUAAUAUAUGCCUUUUUUCCAAAAAUAAAGUAUUUUAAACUAUGCAUUGCUAGACACAUAUACAUUUACUAGUACAUAGUAGCAAAUUAAAAUUGAAGUGGGGCUCCUGCCCACACAGCCUGGCUCCGUCCCUGAGUACUAGUUAAGCUCAAUGUAUCAUUUUCAUGAGUCAAAAACAAGAUGUCAUUUUCAUAAAACUAGAGCUCCGUAGCCUUGUUUAUCUAAUGCGUAUCAACUACAAUUAACAUGAAUGGGCAUUUGGUCUAGUGGUAUGAUUCUCGCUUAGGGUGCGAGAGGUCCCGAGUUCAAUUCUCGGAAUGCCCCUUUUUGCAUAUUUUUGGCCUAUUUUUUUCAACUUAAACUUCAUUCAUUCAUAUAAUCACUUAAAUUAAUAAUAAUCAAAUACGAAGGCAUACUUAGAUAACUAAACUUCAUUCAUUGAUCACUUCACUUAAAGUACUUAUAGGCAGCACACUUUAGUUUUUAUAAAACUAAAUAGAAAUAAAUUACAUAAGAUCCUAGUAGCUCUAAUGAAGUUAGGAUUAUAUAAAUCAAACAUAGUCAUACAAGUAUAAUCUAUGCCUAAAUUAUACAAGUAUGCCUAAAGUCAUUAUUCUAUAAUAAUAUAUAUCUUCCAUCAGAGCUUCUCAUCUUCCACUAUGCAUAUUUGCAGCUCCCAUAACCUAUUAAACAUAAAUCAAACAUAACAAAUUAAACCAUGUACAAAAUAUAUUUAAUUGUAACUAAAUCACAUAAAAAUAAAAGGAGGCCUAAUUAACAAAUUAAGUAAUUACUUGGAUCAGUGACAACAAUUAGGGCAGACCCAGAAAAGUAACAAUCCCAAGCAUUUCUUCCAUACUUAGCAUAGUAUUGAUUCAUAACAACAGAGGCAUGGUUUAAGGGUGUGUUUGGGUAGAAACAAGAUCCACCAACUUGAAUAAUCUUGCAAUCCCCCAACAUGUUACAAGCAUAUUCUAUGUUUUCAUUCAGUUCAACUUCACUUGCUGAAAAUUUUGCCACACACCAAGUUGCCUAUAAUAAUUAAUUUCAUCACCAAAUCAAACCAAAAAAUAAAAAAAUCAUUAGUUUUGUUACACUUUUCUAUGUAAUAAAAAUAAUUAUACUGUGAUAAAAAGGAAAUUUUAUUUUUACCGUUCCAUUAGCAAAUUUCACAUGCCCUCCUGCAAAAAUAAAUCUAAAAGGGUCAAACCAAAAUAGAGUAAAGUUUUUGCAAUUCAAUGGAAGGUAUGAAUAUAUGUGUACACAUAAAAUGAGAAAUGUGACAAGUAUGAGUAAAUCAUAAUGGACCUAUAUUAUGUAUAAGAUCUAAAUUAAUUAAAUGCAAUUCAUAUAGCCAAGAACUAAUUCUAUACCUGCAUUGAGGUAAAGGAAGAGAAAGAUGAGCAUUGAUUUGGUCAUCAUUGUGUGAUAGCUAGCAAGGAAAUAUUUAGAAACCAAAAGGUGAAUAUGAAUGAAAAUAGUUUGUGGUGUAAAUGUGAAGUGUGAAAGGUUAGAGAGUAUAUAUACAAGGGUAUGGAAUUGAUGUGGUAAGAUAAUGAGUUGGCUCUAUAAGUUUAUUUUACCAUUUAAGGAAUUAACCAUUUACUUGGUCAUUAAAGAUAGUAUUUACAACUAGUUUAAUUUGUCGUUUAAAGUCCAUUCACCUUCUCAUACACACACUAUACUUACUAUAGGAAGUUUAAUUUACUUAGUCAUCAAAGAGGGUACUAAAAGUUUGGAAGUUCGACGUGACAUAUCCUAAUUGGAAUGUGUUUGGAAAUUUAAUUUAAUUUAAGGACCAAUGUCCUCUAGGCAUUAAUUAGUUAAAAACCAGAGGCGUUUUUGCGACAUGUGCGACGGCAUAAGACCUCAUAAAAAUAGGGGUCUCUAAAAAAAAUUAAGGAUAGUAGUAUUGGUAAAUAAGAGGUAUAAAACUAGGGAUUACAAGCUUCCAAAUGAGAGAUUGUGGAGUUCAAAUACCUGAGAUACUCUUUAUUCUAAAAUGAUGAAUUUAUUUGUUACAAAAUGUUUCUAAUUUUUUUUACUGUGAAUAUAUUUUUUAGACGUUUUAUAGCUAAUUAUUAUACUAUAGUUUUAUAAAAUAGAGAGACAUGUAAUAUAGAUUGUCUUGUUUACCAAACUUUUUUUAUAUUAGUAAAAAAAUGAUUAUUUUUUAUGGUUAUUGAUAUUGUUUUUCAUUUAAAUCGUUGACAAUUUUUUUGAAUUUUUCUUUUAUUAGGCCUAUUUUUAAUAAUCGCAUAGGGUCUCCAAAAAGUUGGAAACACCCUUGUUAAAAACUUAUGCAACCACCAUCAAAUGUUUUUAACUUAGAAAAAAAUGUCGGUAAAAAAAAAACUUGGAGAAAACGUAUAAUGGUUGAUUUCUUUAUUAUAGGACAUGGUAUUUACAGUACUAUUUAGGACUAGUAAUUCUGUGGUAAGUAAAGUAUAAUAUUUUUUUUGUCAAAUAUAAUGAAAUUACAUUAUAUCUUAGUCGGUCCUAAGGUCGGAUACCAAGUUUUCAAUAAAAAAAAACAAAAAAACAUUAUAUCUUAGUCACUUGUGUAAACAAUUUUAAACCACAGGGCUUGAUAAUUCUUUUGGACUUGGUGUUAACUGGGAUAGCAUAUUGAGCUCAUCAUAAAUUAUACAAAGUUUCAAAUAAAAUCCUCACAUAUGUUUUCUUUCUUUCUACCGAAACAAAUUUAAUUCAUUUUAUUAAUCAAAUAUGCAUCAAUAUAAAGAAAAAUUGGUUCAAAAGACACCAACUAGCUAAACUAAGAAUUGGUUGGCCGCCCUAACAAAAAAAUUGAACAUUCAUAUGUAACUAAGAAUUGAUUGGUCACUCUAACAAUGAAAUUAAAAAUUUAAAAUGUAACAAUAACAAAGACUUAAUAAACAAAAUUAACAUGUUAAACUCGGAUACACCAAUGCAUAAAAAAAUAAAUAACAUACACCAAAAUUUUAAAAUCACCCUCAAAAGUCACAUGGGUGAUCACAUAUUUCUUAAAACUUAAAAGUAUGAAAAAAGGUGUGACAUUUUAAUAUUAACUAAAGUUAGCAAGUUCUUCUUAAGGGUAGGAGAGGAGAUCACAUGUAAAUGUAAUAUUGGUAAUGUUAAUGCAAAAGAAGCAACCUAAAAACGUGUUUCGUCGUUCCUUAGUUUUUUUAUGUCCCUUAGUGCACAUAUUAAGAUAUACCAAAAUAGAAAUUCAAUAUUUAAUUAUACAAGAAAUUUAAUGCUUCAAAAGUCAAAAUGCACAAAUUAGCAUUUAAUAAUUUUUAUUUUUGCUUCCUUAACAUGUACCUUAAGGGCACAAGUUAAUAUUCUCCUUUCUAUAAUUAUAUGCUGCACAUUAAUGUGACUUUUAGCUUUCUCAUUUUACUGUGUGGAUGAAUUAUAUCCUUGAAACUUUCAUUAAAAAAAAAAGUUUUGGGGUUUGAGUUAUAGUAAGUUGAAUUGAAACAUUUUUUAAAUGAUUGUUAAAUAUCUUGACUUAGAGUUGGAGUUCUUUUACUAGAAUUUAAACAAAUAUUAAUUCAAUAUUGAGGUUGAAUUUAAAAAUUGAUCUCUAAGUCAAUUGACAGCCUCACAACUCACAUGUGAGUUACCCGAAUAGUCAUACCUAUAUAUGAAAAGAAGAAGUAAAAAAAUCGCAUCACAUGAUGUUGUGAAUUAACCGUAUCACAUAUUCACAUAGAUGUACCAAAAAGAAGACGUACUAUCUCCGUCCCAAAAUAUAAGUAAAAAUUGGUCAAUAAAAUUGAAUGUAUUUGGUCCAAAUUUUUAAUCAAAUUAAUCAUGUUUUUUUGAUUAACUCAUUUUUGCUUAUAUUUUGGGACGAAUAUCUUAUAAGUAGCAAUUGUAUGUCUUUAGUUCAAUUAAGGGUUUGUCUUGGUUUUUAGACGAAAAUUUCCAUCAAGGAUUCAAGGUACACACACUAAAACUUUAUCUAUACUGUACUAAUUAAGUAGUAAAAGUUUUUCGUAUAUGAAUAAUAACUAGAAUUUCAACUUAAGGUUUACCAUCAAAGAAAGUAAAUCACAAUACUUUUUAAUUUUUAAAGUUGUAGGAUUGAUCGACUUCAAAAGAAAAAUACUUUAAAGAAUCAAAAUCUCACACGAUCCAAAUUCAAUAAUUAUUAGGUUUUUGAAACUGAAUUUGGUUAAAAGGUUUGUUUCACAAUAAACAUUUUCAAUCGUAAGAGAAAGCAAGACAAAGACAAUCGAUAAUAUAACUAAAAAAACGAAUGAAUAAAUCAACAGAAGUAAAAAAAAUUAUUAUACUAAAAACACUUUAAACAAAGGCUUUACAUAGCAGUACUUCAUUAAUAAUAAUAAAGUUUACUGUAACUUUUUGUUAAACGAUAAAGGGUAAGAUAACUUGUAUCCUAAGAACAUGAGUUAAGUACUUAAAAUAAAGAAAUUAUGUUAGAAAAAAUAGAAAAUUCACCAGGGAUUAUACAUUUUUCUCCCUCUUUACACUUUUUUGUUAGAAUUGUAUUUUCUCUCACGUCAAAGAAAAGCAUUCAUCUCUCACAAAUGGUCCCUAGGGCUUACAAUUGCGGAACAACUUUCAAAAUAAUAUGUUUACGACAUAAGACAGAAGUUAACAUUCUACUUAAAAAAAAAAAACACAUACGUACUUUACGCUGCGCAUUCAUAACCUAUUAUGUAAGGCCUUUUUCUUUUGUCCAAAUUGGAAGGCUUAAUAUAAAUAUAUAUAUUGUUCACAAAAGUAACCAAAAAAAUAAUAUUAUUCACAAAAACAAAAAGUAUACAUCAUGUACUACAAUAUUAUUACUUUUUUAUUAUUAUUUGUGGCCAAGGUCGACAAUGAAGGAGUUGCAAGCAUGAACAUAUAAUGUAGCCAUGCAUGAUGACUUAAGAAGAGAAUAUAAUGAGAAAAAAGAUAAGCACUGCAAGAACAACGGGAAACACCAAUAGCAACGGAAUUCCAGGGGGUGAUACCGCUCCCAUAAAAAAUGCACCAAACAAAAUAAUUGCUGCAAUAAUCAAAAACACCACAAUAGAACCAUCACCCCAUACUUCUGGUUGCCUGCUAUUUCCCAUGCUAACUAAUUACUUUAAGAUUAAUACUAUAUUGUUAAAUGAUUGGUAAUUUAUUUUGAGAUAAAUAAAUGAUUGGUAAUUUAUGCUAUAGUGGCAUGCCCUAUAUAUACAGUUCGAAAGGGUGCGUAAAAAGGUGUUCGUAUGUAGGAAAUGGCACAACGUUUGGUGAACGGCGGGAAUCAAAGGGUAUAACCGGAACAUUUCAAAAUAUUUGUUAUACAGUUUAUUUUGUCAAAAACUACAUUUUUCUAGAUGUAGCUAGGUCCGUUGGAUCUAUAAAACGGUAUUAGAGAUAACCUAUGAAACACGAACACCUCUAUGACUAGACGUGUUGUGGUGUCCGACAUUUGUAUGACGCUUGUACGACACGUGUCGGAUAGCGCCGAUGUCCGAAAAAAAUAAUCAAUUUUUACUUUACUUUAACACUCCUUUGAUGGUGUCUGACCUAUGAAGCAUGAAUUUCGACACAAACACCGCGACACGACACUGACACGGACUCGGCAACACCGCUAAUGUAAAAAAUAUAAGACACCAAAACCGCUACAUAUUUAUAAAACAUAUAAAUUUAGAAUCAAAAUAUAUAAAUGUAAAUCUAAGUUGAGCAAAUUAUUUCUUAAAAAAAGUUUUAAAACAAGAUAGAAUAAUAUUUUAUCUUUUAUUUAUCCAUCUACAAUCGAAAAACCUAAAAAUAUUGAUCAAUAAAAGGUAAGAUAUCUACAUAUUUUACAUUUUCCUUACCUUUUCGAACGCUUGUACGACAUGUGUCGGAUAGCACAGACCGAUGUCCAAAAAAAUAUCAAUUUUACUUUACUUUAACACUCCUUUGAUGGUGGCUGACCUAUGAAGCACAGACUCCUACACGAACACCGCGAAACGACACUGACACGGACUCGGCGACACCGCUAAUGUAAAAAAUAUAAGACACCGAAACCGCUACAUAUUUAUAAAACAUAUAAAUUUAGAAUCAAAAUAUAUACAUGUAAAUCUAAGUUGGGCAAGUUAUUUCUUAAAAAAAGUUUUAAAACAAGAUAUAAUAAUAUUUUACCUUUUAUUUAUCCAUCUACUACCGAAAAACCUAAAAAUAUUGAUCAAUAAAAGGUAAGAUAUCUACAUAUUUUACAUUUUCCUUACCUUUUCGAGACGUCUUUAACUCUUGUGGAUAUGUCUGUUAUGUGUCUAAGGAGAGUAUAAGUAAAUAAGUCCCAAAGUAUAAAAAAAAUCGAUUUUUUUUGACACCGGUCUGAGCUAUCCGACACGUGUCGUAGGAGUGUCAUACAAGUGUCGGACACCAACACGUGUCGGAUACCGCAACAUGCAUAAUCAUAGAGGUGUCGGUGCUUCAUAGUGUCUGACACUUGUUAGACACCCGUACGACACGUGUCCCAAAAAAAAUUAUUUUUUAUUUGGUUAUAUUCUUCUUAGACACAUAUCAGACAUAUCUACGAGAGUUAAAGAUGUGUCGAAACAACAUUAUUGAUCAACAAAGAAUUGAAGACAUUACAUUUUGAUUACAAUAAUUUUAGCUUUUCGACAGUAGAUGGAUAAAUAAAGGUUAAAUACUAUUUUGGUUUAAAACUUCUUUUAAAAGAUAACUUUCUCAACAAUUAGAUUUACAUGUUUAUAUUUUGAUUCACAAUUUAUAUCAUUUAUAAAUAUGUAGCAGUAUCGGUGUCCUAUAUUUUUUACAUUAGCGGUGUCGCAGUGUCUAUGUCUAUGUCGUGUCACGGUGUCCGUGUCAGAGUAUGUGUUUCAUAGGAGAUAACAAUACAUUAUAUGACAAAGUUUAAUUUUAAACAUUAUAUAUGAUGUUCGGUGUACAAAAAAUUACUUGUUAUUUUAAACAAUUUAUGCAGAGGACAUAAAUUGUCUCGUGAUUUAGUGAGUAACAAUAAUUUUAAUUUUUGUGCAGUUCAUUAACCUCCCGUUUGUCUAAUCCUAUGAAACAAAUUUAAAAUCAAAUACAUUAAUAUGCACAGUUUGCCAUAUGACUGAUCUAUUAAUGUUGUAUGAUUAAAAUACAUAACAUAGUAUUGUAAGAAAGAAAAAAAAAUAUAGCAUAGGUAUGUAGUAUAUGUGAGUUCUAAUAUAUUAACUACAAAAUAUAUACAACAUACAAUUCUAAAAGACUGCAAAAACAUCCUUCAAGUAGCUUUGUCUUUAUUCCUGCUUACCAAUUAUAUGUGAAAUUCCAAGUUGUUCUACAAGCAAGAAGGGAUGAUCAUGAGGGCUUUGAGUUACAUGAACAAUUUGAUCAAAGGAACUAAGGAAGGGAGUGAAAAUUGGCUUUAAGCGUGAGGCAGAAAAUUGAGGGAAGAGAGGAGUGAGUUUUUGUUGACUAUACUUGGUUGACCAAAAACACUUGUAUAAGGAGACUUCUAGCGCUGAAUUACUUUCAUACCCUUAAAUUAUAUUUCAAUUUUAAUUUUACUUGUGGGUAACUCAAAUAUAGACGGAUAUAAUGUAAGUACUAAUCACUACUUAACACUGUUUUAUAGCUUCUAGCGCUUGAAUAAGGAGGCUUUUAGUGCUGAAUUGUAUACCCUUAAAUUAUAUUUCAAUUUUAAUUUUACUCAUCAGUAAUAACUCAAAUAAAGACGGAUAUAAUGUAUCAAUUUUGAAUUGGUUCAAGUGGUAAGAGUCUUGAUCCCCUUAAACAUGUAGUGAGAGGUUCGAUUUAUGACUUAUGCAUCUCGAAAAAAUUCGGUUGAGAUAUAUAUAUAUAUAUAUAUAUAUUUUGUUGUAAACCGAUAUUUGUUGUCUUACCUACAACUUAAUUAAUAAUUAAUCAUAAGUUGUUGCCAAGAAGUGUUAGAAUUUGAUCUUCAUAUAGGCUUUGUCUAAAAUGAAAGAGUUAGACACCGGUGCACCACUUGUCAAUAACUCUAUAACGAAUACGAAUUUUACAAAAUUCAGUGUUGGAUUGAAAGUUUAUAUUAUAUAGAUCAUCCAUAUAAAUUUUUAAAAAAAUUGAAAAUCAUUUGAUGUGUUAUUGAGAUCCACCAAAAUUAACGGUAUUCAAUAAAAACUCAUAAACCAUUAAUCUUAACACAUCAAAUGAUUUUCAAGUUUUUUUUAGAAAAUUUACAUAGNNNNNNNNNNNNNNNNNNNNNNNNNNNNNNNNNNNNNNNNNNNNNNNNNNNNNNNNNNNNNNNNNNNNNNNNNNNNNNNNNNNNNNNNNNNNNNNNNNNNNNNNNNNNNNNNNNNNNNNNNNNNNNNNNNNNNNNNNNNNNNNNNNNNNNNNNNNNNNNNNNNNNNNNNNNNNNNNNNNNNNNNNNNNNNNNNNNNNNNNNNNNNNNNNNNNNNNNNNNNNNNNNNNNNNNNNNNNNNNNNNNNNNNNNNNNNNNNNNNNNNNNNNNNNNNNNNNNNNNNNNNNNNNNNNNNNNNNNNNNNNNNNNNNNNNNNNNNNNNNNNNNNNNNNNNNNNNNNNNNNNNNNNNNNNNNNNNNNNNNNNNNNNNNNNNNNNNNNNNNNNNNNNNNNNNNNNNNNNNNNNNNNNNNNNNNNNNNNNNNNNNNNNNNNNNNNNNNNNNNNNNNNNNNNNNNNNNNNNNNNNNNNNNNNNNNNNNNNNNNNNNNNNNNNNNNNNNNNNNNNNNNNNNNNNNNNNNNNNNNNNNNNNNNNNNNNNNNNNNNNNNNNNNNNNNNNNNNNNNNNNNNNNNNNNNNNNNNNNNNNNNNNNNNNNNNNNNNNNNNNNNNNNNNNNNNNNNNNNNNNNNNNNNNNNNNNNNNNNNNNNNNNNNNNNNNNNNNNNNNNNNNNNNNNNNNNNNNNNNNNNNNNNNNNNNNNNNNNNNNNNNNNNNNNNNNNNNNNNNNNNNNNNNNNNNNNNNNNNNNNNNNNNNNNNNNNNNNNNNNNNNNNNNNNNNNNNNNNNNNNNNNNNNNNNNNNNNNNNNNNNNNNNNNNNNNNNNNNNNNNNNNNNNNNNNNNNNNNNNNNNNNNNNNNNNNNNNNNNNNNNNNNNNNNNNNNNNNNNNNNNNNNNNNNNNNNNNNNNNNNNNNNNNNNNNNNNNNCUUGUUAUUUUAAACAAUUUAUGCGGAGGACAUAAAAUGUCUCGUGGUUUAGUGAGUAACAAUAAUUUUAAUUUUAAUUUUUGUGCAGUUAAUUGACCUCCAGUUUUUCUAAUCCUAUGAAACAAAUUUAAAAUCAAAUGCAUUACUAACUACAACUGAAAUUAUAAUGUCUAACGCACUCUUAAAGAAUAUGCACAGUUUGCCAUAUGACUGAUCUAUUAAUGUUGUCUGAUUAAAAUACAUAACAUAGUAUUGUAAGAAAAAAAAAUAUAUAGCAUGUGAGUUCUAAUAUAUUAACUACAAAAUAUAUACAACAUACAAUUCUAAAAGACUGCAAAAACAUCCUUCAAGUAGCUUUGGCUUUAUCCCUGCUUACCAAUUAUUUGUGAAAUUCCAAGUUGUUCUACAAGCAAGAAGGGAUGAUCAUGACUUCAUGAGGGCUUUGAGUUACAUGAACAAUUUGAUCAAAGGAAGGGAGUGAAAAUUGGCUUUAAGCGUGAGGCAGAAAAUUGAGGGAAGAGAGGAGUGAGUUUUUGUUGACUAUACUUGGUUGACCAAAAAUACUUGCAUAAGGAGACUUCUAGCGCUGAAUUACUUUCAUACCCUUAAAUUAUAUUUCAAUUUUAAUUUUACUCGUGGGUAACUCAAAUAUAGACAGAUAUAAUGUAAGUACUAAUCACUACUUAACACUGUUUUAUACUAGCUUCUAGCGCUUGAAUAAGGAGGCUUUUAGUGCUGAAUUACUUGUAUACCCUUAAAUUAUAUUUCAAUUUUAAUUUUACUCAUAAGUAAUAACUCAAAUAAAGGCGGAUAUAAUGUAUCAAUUUUGAAUUGGUUCAAGUGGUAAGAGUCUUGAUCCCCUUAAAUAUGUGGUGAGAGGUUCGAUUUAUGGCUCAUGCAUCUGAAAAAAAUUCGGUUGAGAGGGGAGAUAUAAUGUAAAUACUAAUCACUAACAUUGUUUUAGCUUCUAUCCCUUGAAUAGGGAAGCUUUUAGGGCUGAAUUAUAGCUUGCAUCGACACUAUUUUUCAUCUAAAACUAGAUAUAUAUAUAUAUAUNNNNNNNNNNNNNNNNNNNNNNNNNNNNNNNUAUUUGUUGUCUUACCUACAACUUAAUUAAUUAAUCAUAAGUUGUUGCCAAGAAGUGUUAGAAUUUGAUCUUCAUAUAGGCUUUGUCUAAAAUGAAAGAGUUAGACACCGGUGCACCACUUGUCAAUAACUCUAUAACGAAUACAAAUUUUACAAAAUUUAGUGUUGGCUUGAAAGUUUAUAUUAUAUAGAUCAUCCAUAUAAAUUUUUUAAAAAAUUGAAAAUCAUUUGAUGUGUUAUUGAGAUCCACUAAAAUUAACGGUAUUCAAUAAAAACUCAUAAACCAUUAAUCUUAACACAUCAAAUGAUUUUCAAGUUUUUUUAAAAAAUUUACAUAGAUGAUCUAUAUAAUAUAAACUUUCAAUCAAACAGUAGAUUUUAUAAAAUACAUAUUCGUUAUAACAUUUAUUAAGAAUGGUGCACCGUGCAAGACUUAGUGCACUUGUGCACCUAAUGUUAUUAUAUUUGUAGUUAUGAAUGUUAGCUUUUACGCAUGUUUCUUUUAAAAAUGACACUUAUAAUUCAAAAUAUAAACUAAAGUUUACAUUGCGUUCAACAUCAACGCGUAUUUUUAUUCUUACUUCCAAGUCAAUAUAAUUUCAUAUGAAAAAAAAUUAUAAUUAAGUUGCGUGUUACAUCAAAAACGAUAUGAACUACACAUAACUUAAGUUCAACACACUGAACGACCUUAAUUUUCAAUUUAAAAUCGACUCAUUUGGUUUAUAAACUAAACUCAAUGAAUUAAUUAAUAGAUUGAGUCCCAAACUCUUUUUGAGUUGGUUAGAUUUAUUGCCAACCCUAAUAUGUCAUCCAAACAUCGAAAAAGAUCACACAAAAUUUGUUGUCUCCUUGUGGGUCCAUUACAAUUCACAAUGUUAUUUUUCAUGCAUCGAUUUACGUAAUUUUUUUUUCUUCCAUUUUCUUUUCAUUGUACCAAACGGACCAUAAGAUUUUUGUGCGAAAGAAAACAUGCGGGUAUUCUAGUUAUUUUUAUUAAAAACAAAAAAAAUCAAUUUGUAACAUACACUAAUGGGCCCGGGUUAACAUAUGGUUUUUUAGGCCCAAAUCUUUAUUCAUCUCUAACCUAGCAAUUCACGUUCUGCAAAUUCGCGUUUGGUGCUUUCUGAACCAAACGAGCACUCUGUCUCUCGCAUACAGUAAAAGCAAAUUGUGCCGACGAACCACCGCAUCUUCUGCCGGCGAACUACCACACUUCGCUGCAACGGAUUCUGCAUAGAUAGAGAGAGAGAGAGAGUUUNNNNNNNNNNNNNNNNNNNNNNNNNNNNNNNNNNNNNNNNNNNNNNNNNNNNNNNNNNNNNNNNNNNNAGAGAGAGAGUUUGAUAAUAAGUAAGAAAAGAGAGAAUGAAGCUUGACGUAGACGUUUUGAGAUAUCUCUCCAAAGAUGAUUUUAGGGUUCUUACCGCCGUUGAAUUAGGCAUGAGAAACCACGAAAUUGUACCCAUUGAACUCAUUGAUCGAAUCGCUCGUCUCAAGUAUAUGCAUCAUUCAUUCUCUUUUACAUUAUCAUUGGUAUUACUAUUACUAUUCAAUUUCACAUUUUCAUCUUCAUUCAUUAUAGGCAUGGUGGCACCUACAAGGUCUUGAAAAACUUGCUUAAACAUAAGCUGUUACAUCACGACUCUUCUAAAUGUUAGUUAGUACCUUCUAAUCUUUGUUUAAUCAUUAUUAUUAUUGUUAACUUAUUAAAUAAUGAUAGAACAUGUUCAUAUAAGCUUAAUUUACUUUUAGAUGACGGGUUCCGCUUAACCUACCUUGGUUAUGAUUUUCUUGCCAUCAAAACAAUGGUGAACAAAGGAGUUUUUGUGGCUGUUGGUCGCCAGAUUGGUGUUGGAAAGGAAUCUGGUUAGUGUUUAUUUUAAAUGUUUUAAUUUAUGAUGCUUUUUUUUUCAGUGGAUUUCGAUCCUAAUUGUGCCAUUUGUGAUUUGGUAGAUAUAUUUGAGGUUGCUACUGAAGAUGGAACUGUUUUAGCUAUGAAGUUACAUAGGCUUGGUAGAGUUUCUUUCAGAGCUGUUAAAUCGAAGCGUGACUAUUUAAGACAUCGUAGUAGUUAUAAUUGGCUCUAUUUAUCUCGUCUUGCUGCGCUUAAAGAGUUUGCUUUCAUGAAGGUUUCACUCUCCCUGUCCUCUACUGUUUUUGCAUCUAGCUAUAUACUUGAUUUGAAUUGUUUUAGUGACAUGUGCUUUUCUUGAGCAGGCUUUGGAAACACAUGGCUUUCCCGUUCCACAAGCUAUUGAACAUAAUCGACAUUGUGUAAUCAUGUCACUUGUCCAAGGUUAUCCUUUGUAAGUGCCCUUCUUUCUUUUUGUGAAAAAUCAUAAAAGUCGUUUAGGGUUGCAUUCAUGUUAAAUGUAUCUCCUGAUUUACUGAACAAAAUUAGUCAACUCUGACGGUGUUGGAUAUUGUGAUUGUAUAAUUGCUGCUAACUGCUAAGUAAGUACUCUUGGGGUGGUAUUUGUUUUGUCACUGUCAGAAUUGUAUUAAAUUUUAUGUGUGGUCAAUGAAUUGGUAUUCCAUCAGUACCAGGAUAUGCUUGAGGUUUGACCAUUUGAUCCUUGCUUUUACAUCUUGUUCAUGUAGAAUAUUUAGCAUUCCUUAAGCAGGGUUGUUGUUUGAUGAUUAUUAUCAUAGUCCUAACGCAUUGGAUGCAUGUGCUUUUGUUCCAAAUUGCAUGUAGUCACUUGUGGUUUAUAUUGUAUUAAUACUUCAUCUCCGAAGAUAGUCACUGUCAGUUUCUAUCUUUUAGGAUUCAAAUUUCUUAUGUCAUACCACAGUUUUUAAUUCUAGGUCCUCUUUACUUUUCAGAACUAGAUGUAGUAGUUGCCACAAAAGUAUCUUUGUUAAAAUCUAAUGUUCUCUCUAUUGUUGGGUUUUAGACAAGGAAGGAAGAAAGAGAAAUGAUAUAGAUUUUGAAUUGUGGUUAUGGUUUGAUGUAAAAGACUAACCACUAAGCCUUACUCAACUAUUAAUUAAAUAAAACUAAUCAUGAUAACUGCUAGACUUCUAAUACUAAUUAAAUUAUUAAAUUAUGAAAUAUAUUCUAAAAUCUAAUGAAACAUGAUCAAUCCUAAGAGAUAUAGAGAUAUUUUAAAUUGCUCUAAGGUUAGAGUUCAAAUAUUAUGAGAUGUUUUCAUAUAUUUUAACAAUCUUUUGUUCUUAAGUUGUUUUUUUGGUAAACAAUUCCUUGAAUCUGUAUACUUGGUUGUGCAAAUACAGCGUUCAGGUGAAGCAAUUACAAAAUCCAGAGACAGUUUUUGAGACAAUUAUUGGUAUAAUUAUUCGGCUGGCAGAACAUGGUCUCAUUCAUUGUGAUUUCAAUGAAUUUAACAUCAUGGUAUGCUUGAAUAACUUGUACUGGCUGGUCAGCUUUAUCGUUAAAUUGAAUAUUAAAUAUUUUUUUCAUUAUAUGUCAUUUUUGGUGGCUUCUGCCUCUGGCUUACAAUCUGGCUUCGUUCACUGUAGAUUGACGAUGAAGAAAAAAUUACUGUGAUUGAUUUUCCACAAAUGGUGUCUGUGUCGCACCGUAAUGCAAAGAUGUAAGAGUCUCUUCCUUGUAUGGUAUUAUAUUUUAAAAACAUUAUGCCUUAGUAUGAAAAUGAAAAGUUUACCAAGUAACAGGGACGUUACGGUAGUAUUUCUUAAAUUUAUUGUAUCUCUAACAAACAAAACUAUUCUUUUCCAUCUUCGGUUUGAAGAUGUUCAACGAAUAUAUUUUCAUUAGGCCUUAACUGCUUAUUAUUUUUCCUUGUUGCAGGUACUUCGAUCGUGAUGUUGAAUGUAUCUUUAAGUUUUUCAGAAAGAGGUUUGUCCUUUAAUUUUUGACCCGUUAUAUUUUCUAAAAAUAAAAAAGAGAAGUGUUUUUUCACUAUCCAGUUCCCUAGGUUUUAGUAAACCAAAAGACCUCAAAACAAAAUUGGAAACCUCAUUGGAAUUCAUACAUUGUUACAAAUAUUUGAAGCACUUGUUUUGCCUGAUAAAGAGAUCUUUGAAAGGAGCAUACUCUCGUUUCCUUGACUUUUUCAUACUACAUCUGAUCCUAAUUUCCUAUUUGAUAUCUUUGUUGAUUAUAAGUUUGGUUUGUUAACUGAUAUUUUACUUAAAAUUUACUUACAAGUGUUAAUAUUUAUUUUGGCAUUCACUUUUAAUACAUACCAUACCACCACCACCACCACCACUACACACUAUUAGUAUAUUGCAUCACUUAUUUUGAUUGAAUGUUUAAUUAUUCUUUUGCUUAACAUAUUGAAAGAUUUUGAAUUUUGUCUGUGGCUGCUUAUCCAGUUGUCCUUAUGAUUAGUCCCUCUUUUUGUUAUAGGUUCAAUAUGUCUUUUCAAGAAAGCAUAGAUGAUAACGACGAUUCUGAUAAAGGGAAAAACGAAGCUGGAAAACUGUGUUUUUCUUCAAUAGACAAAAGUGCUGGUGUUCUAGAUAAGGAACUUGCUGCUAGUGGCUUUAGUAAAAAAGAUGAUGAAGAUAUUCAGAGAGUAUGGUGUUUUUUCUGUUUUUUCUUAGUUAUAGACUUAUAGUGUGCAUUGUUGAUUGUGAAGCAUUUAUCUUAUUUUUUAUUUUGCCUCAAUGCUCUUCAAAUCUACCUGCAGUUUAUUGAAUGUGAGGUGGAGACUGAUACAAAUUCUGAUAGUGAAGAAGAUGUUGACUUGGCGAGUAACCUGAAUGAAGCAGACGAUCUAAAUGUUGAUUCUUUACAUUUGUCAGAGCAGGUAAUAUAUCCAUUAGCUUCUGUUGUCAUAAAAGAUAUACAUGCUAUGGGAAAUAGUGUGUGCUGUUUGUUCAUUUGUUUUAUUUUGAUAAAUUUAAGUUGGAGUUACGUACACGUAAAGAGAGAUAAAACAAUAGUGGUUCAACAAGUUAAAACAAGCAAGUAGACUCAUCUGUUAGGGGAUUGCCUUUCUGAAAACUGUUGAUGCCCUUGAUUCUAAUAUGACAGGGCGUACCUUUUUUUUUAACAGCAAAAUAAAUUAACUAGAAAAAGGAAGGACAAGAGGUACUUCAAACCCAUUUACAAGACAACAUACAUAAAACAACACUACCACCUAAAGCCUAGAUAUACUCUCCCUAAAUACCACCUCCAAGAUGAAACUAGGAUAAAGUCCAAAAGCUCAUCACUAUUGGUAUCCUUAUUAGAGAAAAUAGACCCAUUCUGGUGAGCCAAAUAUGACCCGGCAUAACUAAUAGAAGGUUUUUAUGUAUUUGCUUAGGAUACUAUUGCUAGAGAACUUAGGAAGGAUAUAAAACUGGCUUUCUGGGCUUGACGAGGAUGGAUUUAAAAUUUUCAUUGCUCUGAAUGUGAGAUUAAUUGCGGUAACUUCUGUGAUAUUCCAAGUGAACUGUGGGAUGUAAAUUUGAACGUCCUGUAGUUUAUCUAAGAUUUGUUAUUUGUUCACCAAUUGAGCAUAUACAGCCUGCCUCAUGUUUUUCAGCUUAUUUCGCUAGUUAUGCAAAUUCUGUAUUUUACAAUUCUGAUUGAAGGAUUGUUGAUGAAACCAUGUUUAGGAUGAGGGGCAUGAAAGUCAAGGAAAAGAGGAGAGCGCUGAAGCAGGUGAAAACAGUGGAUCUGAAACGGGAUCUGAAAAGGAAGAGGGAAAUGAUACGGUAAGCUAAUAUCUAUUAUUUUUAUUAGGUGAUUAUCUUGGUGUUUUGCUCUUCCUCUUCAUGAUGAUUUCUUUUGGGAAAUAGCGUAUGUCAUCCUUUUUAACAAGGAAGGCUGUAAAUAUCCCAGAAAUUCAAAUGAAAAUGCAAUCCGAAUUGAUUUGAUUUAAUUUUCUGUCACGAUCGAAUGGAUGGAUUUUUAUUGAAAGUGAACUAAUGUAUUCUAGUAUUAUUCUAGUUUAUAGAAUCCUUGUUAUCUAGCCUUCACAUGAAAACCAUUUAUAUGAAAACCAUAAUGGUAUUAAUUUGAUUUGCAGGAGGAAACCAAUGAAAUUGAAGCCGAACUAACAAAGAGCUUGAGUAAGCAAAGACAACGUGCUAUAGCAUCAGCCCGUAGGGGACGGAAGACACUUGCAUCCAGGAAUAAUUACAAAGACAAGGGUGGUAGGUCAUCUCAAAGUUCUAAGGUUCAAAUGAGCGGCUGGUGAGAUAUAUAGGAAGACAAUACCCAUGUCAUUGAUCUCAUGUCAUUCAAAUAUGUUGAAGUGAACCGGAAAAUACUGAAUAGAGUUUCAACCGUGUGCCAUCUAUUAGGACUAAAUUAUCUGUUUAAAAUUCAAACAUAUGUAUGGACUAUAGUUCAGAAUUGAUUUGGUUUUGAGUUUGUUUUCUUCCUGUAGGGAGAAUAAUUAUAUUCUUUUUGAAUGAAAAUUUUGCCUUCCUAUUCUGUCGUUCUUGCAUGCAUGAUGGAAGUGGCUGCUAUCAAUUAUCUCUACUGUGCUGUCUACUGAUUUCCACUGUCAGGUACAUAAACAUAGUGCUUUUGUCUAGUUGAAUGCUCAACGACAUAUCUGCUUUCAUGUUAUAAUUACAAGCCGAUUAUCCAAGCGUUGAAUCGAAACUUCUGCUGGUUUGGCCUAAGGCCCUAAACAAAGCUUAAAAACUUUGGCAAUUGCCUUGAGGAGCUUUAUACACGAGAUGAUUACCCUUUUGUGAGUCCAGCUGAACAAGUGAAUCUUGACUAGUGAUGCAAGCAUAAACACUUUUAUUUUUUCUUAUGGUUACAUCAUAAACACUUUUAUUUGAAACUAUAUUUUUACUAAAUCAAUUUUAUAAACAACUAAGUGGUCAGGCACGCGCGCUCAGCGCAAGUGUUUAACUUAUGUCCAAAAAAAAACAUGUCUUAUAUUUUGGUGAGUUUGUUAAUAAAAGAUUUUUGGUGCUAAAAAAAAAGAUUUGCCUUAUGUUAUUUUGAGUUUGUUAAUAAAAGAUUUUUGUUGCUAUUAAAAAAAACAAGGGUAUUGUUGGUAUUAUGAAAAGUCCAUACCAAAACUCAAUGUAUUCUCUUUAUAUAUAGUAUAUAGUAUAUAUUAUGUAAAAUUAUGUUUGUCAAAUUUAUAAUCAAUUUUAUAAACACAUUGAUUACAUUUUUGUUUCUUGAUUGACAUAAUUAUAUGUUUUGAGUUUGUAUUAUUUAUUAUUGGUUACAUUUUUUUUAAUUGACAAUGCUUCUUUAUACAUUGUGAAUUUGUAGAAAAUUGUUAGAUUAUAGUCUAUUGAACUUGAAUAUUUAUAUUUCUAAACUAGUAAUCUAGUCAUUUUAUAUUUUACUAUAUUUUUUUAAACCCUUAUUUAUAUUAUUUGUUUUGGCAUAAAGGAGAACCUAAUUACAAAUAAACUAAAUGAAUAGUACCUACAUUUAUAUCAUCAAGAUAACUCAUUCUAAUUUGAAUAAUAAGAAAUGUUAUUAUAAUUAUUGAGAAUUGUAAAAGUGAAGUUAAUCGUUAAUAAAUAUAGAGUAAUUACAUAUGAAUGAAAGGUAAACAAGUAACAAUCUGCGACGCUGACCCUUUUUGAAUGUCAAAAUCAACUCUCGUAAGUUUAAAACACUGGCCUCUUUGUCUUUCUCGUAUUUUAAAUGGUCAAUGAUAGUAUUAGUAGUUAGUAAUUCUAAUUUUUGCUGAGAGUGAUUAAACAUCUGACCUUUUAUCACCUAACUUUAUAUCUCAUGCACUUCAACCACCAAAUCAUUCAUAUAACUCCCCAUCAUCUCUAUUGUUGUUUUAUUCAUUACUUAUCACCUUUGUUAACACAAAAGAAAAAUCAAAUCUCACUCAUAUAUGAAUGUGCAUUUGUAGACAAUUUGUAUCAUUCAAAUAUAAUGCUCUAAAAACACAAGAGUUUUUAUUUAAAUAAAUUCUAGAAGUCACGGACUUCAUAGAUAGCUCUUGGCAUUUAUUUGGCUCAAAUAUUUUUGCAUUAUUAUCUCCCAUUCCCACGAAUUUUCUUUGAUCCCGACCUAAUAUACACUCACACACUAUCCAUAGUUCGGCUGUUGAUUCACAUGUCACAAUCCAAUUUCAAAAUCUAUGCUUCAAAUGGACAAUCAUUUUGGAUGUUUAUGUUUUGCCACUUGCAUGUUAUUAUAUAUCAUACCACUUGCCCAUUUAUUUUCUUCCACAAACGCGUUUGGACUUUGGCACUACCAUCUCACAUUCACACACACCCCAUUUGCAUUACUAUGCAUUUUCUUCAUUAGUUGAUUAUAUUAACUAGUUAUCUACGCAUACAUUAGUAUAUUUAUGGAUUCUUAAUUGCUAAUACUAAUUAGUUUAUGCUAAGUACUUCAAAAAAGUCAUUAAUUGCUAAGUACUUCAAAAAGUCAUUAAUCGUCGACUUGACUCAAACACUGCAUCUCAUUGACUCCUUUUACAAUCCACACCAUUUGCAUCUUAGUAAUCCAUUCAUUGAUUAGACAAGUCAUUCACGCAUAGAUUAAUAUACUACUAAAAUUUGGGCUUAGCCCCUCAUCAUUAUAAAGUAAAAUAAAAUAUAUACUACUAAAAUAGGUGAACAUUUUCAUAUUUUUUAUUUUAGUUUGGUUGCGAGGUAUAUAAAGUCUCGUAAAGAAUUGUUCUCAUCGAAAAAUCGAAAAUUGAAUUUGGGUUCUCCGAACAAUUCAUUUUAAAAGAGUUCAUUAACCACUUGAAUUCAAAUACUUAAUUUGAUCACUUAUUUAUUAUCUAAUCAUUUCAUGUAAUGAUAUAUUUUUAUUUUUAAUUAUUUAAACAUAAAAUUAUUAAUUUUGUCUACAAGAUUGUAUUCAACAAAACUUGAUGUACCAAAGUAUUUUCCAUUCAUAUAUUUUAGCAUUCUUAAUUGCUUGUACUGAAUUGUUUCAGAGCUAAGCAUUUCAAAAAGUCAAUAAUCGUAUACUUGACUCAAGUAAUUAGAAAUUCAACUAAAUUCUUAAAAGAAAUCAUUGCAUUCAUACAAGUAUAGGAAGACUUCAUGGUCUAGAUACUUAUGAAUUAAUUUGUAUGAAUUUGUAGGCUUAAUUGUAUUGUAAAAAGUCCAAAAAGCAACUUUUGUCUGAUACAAAGAAGCAUGAGAUAAAUAACCUAGUGGAGGUUGUGAUCACACCUCAUUUUGACUAAAAUGUCAAGUGUAGCAACCAUAAUAUACUUUUAUUUUGGUCUAAUUUUAUGAGAAUUUUAAGAAAAUCAUUAAAUUUUCAUUGUUAUAAUUAAGGUGACAUUUGGUUUAUGGCUUUAUGCUAUUAGUUUCUAUUCCCCCCUUGUUUUUUUAUAUCUAUGGAUGUAGUCAAUUAACCAAAGAUUUCCCAUUGGUUCUUCCCCCCUCUCUCAAAGUCCCAAACCUUUUGUUUUGGUGUAUACAUAUAAAUAUUUGGCGCAUCUUAUGUGGCGUCUCAAUCAGUAGAAGAUGCACCAAGUUUGCUUGCUUAUAAAUUUAUAAUAAUACAAACCUUAAUACUCAACUUAUAUAGUACAAUUAUUCAAACAUUGAAUACUCAACUUAAGUCAAGUUAAAGAUAUAUUCAUUUUAACCAAAAUCGUUUAGAUGAGAUGACACGUAUCUCUUUUAGUCUAACCAAUCUCUUGAGUUCGAUAUUUGAUUUGAGCAUACAGUAGUCUCAAAACUCUUAGAGAGAAUUUAUCACUCUUUUGAGUGCCACAAAACUCGAGUGAUUAGUCUUUGUAGUAGCGCGCGUAGCGUAUAUUCAUUUUUGUCCUAGAAUGAUAUAGUACCUUUUAUCAUAAUGCAAUGUGAACACAAUAUCACACAUUUGGCCAUUAUCUUCUUAGACAAAUAAAACAGUAGAUGCAACAUGCAUGAACAUCAUCAUCAUCAUCAUCAUCAUCAUCAUCAUAUAUAAAAACCUUCAUUUACUACAACUUCUAUGCAAAGUCAUAAAACUUCAAAUUCAAUUGACCAAUUCACAAUUCCACAAUCAUGUUAUCUCUAAACCUUAAAUUGACCAUAGUCAUACUCAUUUCAAUUCUAUCCAUUAUCAUUUCACAUGCUCAAACAACAAAAACAAAAACAACAAUUGAAGUUGAAAUUGAAGCAUUAAAAGAAUUCAAAAAAUCCAUAACAAAUGAUCCAAACAAAAUCCUUGCAAAUUGGAUUGACACAACACCUCAUUGUAAUUGGUCAGGAAUUGAAUGUAACAACCAAACAUCAUCAAAACAUGUUAUAUCAAUUUCACUUUUUGAACUUCAACUUGAAGGUGAAAUUUCACCAUUUAUUGGUAACAUUUCAACUCUUCAACUUGUUGAUUUAACUUCAAAUUCAUUCACUGGUCAAAUUCCACCACAAAUUGCUCAAUGCAUUCAACUUACAACACUUUAUCUUACUGAUAAUUCUCUCUCAGGUUCAAUUCCUCAUGAAUUAGGUAACCUAAAAAAUUUACAAUUUUUGGAUUUAGGUAGUAACCAUUUCAAUGGAACUUUACCUAAUAGUAUAUUCAAUGUUACUUCUUUGUUAGGUUUUGCUUUCAAUUUCAAUAAUCUUAGUGGCACAAUCCCUUCAAAUAUAGGAAAUUUAGUUAAUGUUAUACAAAUUGCAGGAUAUGGGAAUAGUUUUGUUGGAUCUAUACCUGUUUCUAUAGGUAAAUUAGGGUUUUUGAAAUCUCUUGAUUUUAGUCAAAAUAAGUUAUCUGGUGUGAUUCCUAGAGAGAUUGGAAAUUUAACAAAUUUACAAAAUCUGGUAUUGUUGGAUAAUUCAUUGAGUGGAAAAAUUCCUUCUGAGGUUGGUCAUUGUAGAAAUCUUGUUUUUCUUGAGUUAUAUGAGAAUGAUUUCAUUGGAAAUAUUCCUCAUGAGUUAGGAAAUUUAGUUCAAUUAGAAACUUUGAGGUUAUUUGAUAAUAAGUUGAAUUCAACUAUACCAGAUUCUAUAUUUAAGUUGAAAUCAUUAACACAUUUAGGAUUAUCAGAAAAUAACUUAGAGGGAACAAUUUCUUCUGAGAUUGGAUCUUUGAGUUCCUUAAAAGUGUUAACUUUGCAUUUAAAUAAGUUUACCAGAACGAUUCCUUCAUCGGUAACAAAUUUGAGAAACUUGACAUCUCUUUCCAUGAGUCAGAAUCUUUUUUCUGGUGAAAUUCCUUCGAACUUAGGUGUGCUUCAUAAUUUGAAGUUUCUUGUCUUGAAUAACAAUUUUUUACAUGGUCCUGUUCCUCCUAGCAUUAUCAAUUGUACUAGUUUGGUAAAUGUGAGUUUAUCUUUUAAUGCAUUAUCUGGGAAAAUUCCUGAGGGUUUUUCAAAGCUACCUAAUUUGACUUUUUUGUCUCUUGCAUCCAACAAAAUGAGUGGUGAAAUUCCAAAUGAUCUCUUUAACUGUUCAAACCUUAGUACUCUAAGUUUGGCGGAAAACAACUUCAGCGGGUCGAUAAAAUCCGGUAUCAAGAAUCUGUUUAAUCUCAUGCGUUUACAGCUGCAUGUAAAUGCUUUCGUAGGACCAAUUCCACCAGAGAUCGGAAACUUGAAUAAACUCAUCUCUUUGUCUCUUUCUGAAAAUAGAUUUUCAGGUCAUAUUCCAAUAGAAUUGUCAAAACUUUCUCUUCUCCAGGGACUUUCUCUUGAUGACAAUGUAUUAGAAGGUACAAUACCUGAUAAACUUUCAGAACUAAAACAAUUGACUGAACUUUGGCUGCAUGACAACAAGUUAGUUGGUCACAUACCGGAUUCUAUCUCAACGCUUGAGAUGCUUUCAUACUUGGAUCUUCAUGGAAACAAACUUAACGGUUCCAUUCCGAAAAGCAUGGGGAAGCUUGAUCAUCUUUUAAUGUUGGAUCUCUCUCACAACCAACUCACAGGAUCGAUUCCCGGAGAUGUCAUUGGACACUUCAAAGACAUGCAGAUGUAUCUUAACCUUUCUUACAAUCACUUUGUUGGAAAUGUUCCUUCUGAGUUGGGGAUGUUGGAAAUGGCACAAGCAAUUGAUGUUUCAAACAAUAAUCUUUCAGGUGUUCUUCCAAAGACACUUGUGGGAUGCAGAAAUAUGUUUAGCCUUGAUUUCUCAGGAAACAAUAUUUCAGGUCCUAUUCCUGCUGAAGUUUUUAGUGGUAUGGACUUGCUUCAAAGCUUAAAUCUUUCGAGAAACCAUUUAGAUGGUGAAAUCCCUAAAAGCUUGUCACAGCUUAAGAAUCUUAGUUCCUUAGAUCUUUCUCAGAAUAACUUGAAGGGAAGUAUUCCUGAGGGAUUUGCCAACCUUUCCAACUUGAUGCAGGUCAACUUUUCUUUCAAUCAACUUGAAGGUCCUGUACCUUUGACCGGAAUCUUUGCGCAUAUGAAUGCAUCUAGUAUAAUGGGAAACCAGGCUCUUUGUGGAGCAAAAUUCCUAAGGCCAUGCAGAGAGAAUGGUCAUUCUGUAUCCAAGAAGGCCGUAGCUAUCCUUGCUUCCCUUGGAUCUCUUGCUGUACUUCUACUUGUAGUGCUUCUCAUUUUAUAUCUCAACCGAGGCACCAUAUUUGGUAAUUCUGCAAAGACUGGUGAUACUGAGAAUCAUGAAUCAGUGCAUGGUUCAUCAGUGGGUCUUAAAAGAUUCAGUCCAAAGGAAUUAGAAUAUGCCACCGGUUGUUUCAGCUCAGACUACAUCAUCGGUGCUAGCAGUUUGAGCACCGUUUACAAGGGUCAAUUUGAAGAUGGUCAGGUUGUAGCAGUAAAAAGCUUGAAUUUGCACCAAUUCUCUGCAAAUACCGACAAGAUCUUCAAGAGAGAAGCCAGUACCUUGAGCCAGCUGAGACAUAGGAAUUUGGUUAAGAUACUUGGAUAUGCAUGGGAAAGUCAGAAAAUAAAGGCUUUAGUUUUAGAGUACAUGGAGAAUGGGAAUUUGGAUAGCAUCAUACAUGAUAAAGAGGUAGAUCAGUCGAGGUGGACAUUAUCUGAAAGAGUCCGCGUUUUCAUUUCUAUCGCGAGUGGAUUAGAUUACUUGCACUCUGGCUAUGGUUCUCCCAUUGUCCACUGUGAUCUUAAGCCUUCUAACAUCCUUUUAGAUAGAGAUUUUGAAGCUCAUGUCAGUGAUUUUGGAACAGCUCGAAUACUUGGUCUUCAUCUGCAGGAUGGUAGUGCCCUUUCCUCAAUGGCAGCUUUGCAAGGGACAGUUGGUUAUUUGGCACCAGGUAUACGCCUUUUCUAAUCUUUUAUGAUCAAUGAAUUAUGUGUCAUCUUUCAAUGAAUUAUGUAGCAUUAGAUUGUUUUAGAAUUUUAACUCUGAACAAUAUUUUUGUGUAAUUCCCAGAAUUUGCCUACAUGAAGAAAGUAACGACUAAAGUGGACGUGUUCAGCUUUGGUAUCAUAGUAAUGGAAUUUCUAACAAGAAAAAGGCCAACAGGGCUCUCAGAAGAGGAUAGCUCGCUAAUCAGUUUGCGUGAUGUAGUGGCAAAAGCCGUUGCAAAUGGAACAGAACAGAUAAUCAACAUUGUGGACCCUGAAUUGAUCACAAAAGACAAUGGAGAAGUGUUGGAAGAGCUCUUUAAACUAUCAUUGUGCUGCACCUUCUCUGAUCCUGAACAUCGACCUAAUAUGAAUGAAGUUUUAUCUGCACUUAUGAAGCUUAAGACAGCAAGAUAGUAUUACUGUCAUGCCAGUUUCUUCAUUACUAGUUUCUUUAACAAUGUAAAGCCUUCCUAGUAUCCAUUUUACUUUUCCAGUUAUGAUGUAAUGUAUGCAACAAAUUAUCAAGGGACUUUGAAUCUGCAAUUAAUUCCUUCAGUUUAAUGCAGAGAUAUCAAUACAGACAUUCGAGUUUGCUCAAUCGUACUAUAGUUAGAGAACGGUGUUGGUUUGGAAUUAAAAUAAUACUGUAUGUUAUAAAGACUCAAAAGUAUCUUUGAGAAAUUUUAUGCAGUGAAACAAAUUUAUUGCAUUUGCAUACAUCAACUACGAAGAAAAAUAUCAUAAAAUAAGCAACAAAGCUUCAAUAACUGGGGAGUAAAUAAGCAUUUUGGUCCUCCAAAUUGUAAGGGCCAACCAAUUUCAUACCUCAAAUUUACGAAAUAACAAAUUAGUCCCUUAAAUUAAAGAAAAUCAAUCAAUUUAGUCUCUCCAUCAAAAUUUCUCUUUUGUUAUCCGACAUUCAGUUUAAGAUACUAAAUUACGAAAUAACAAAUUAGUCCCUUAAAUUAAAGAAAGUCGAUCAACUUAGUCUCUCCAUAAAAAAUGACUAAAGUGACUGACCCUCAUUCAAUUUAAGAUACUAAAUUGUUAUUUUACACAUUUGAGGGACUAAAUUGACGACACUAACAAUUUCAAUAACUAAAAUGCUGAUUUACUCGUUACUCGGAGGAUCGGUAUGAAGAAAUUCUUGAAUGGUUGAAGGGAAAUCCAAGCCUGAAAAAUCAGCCUCAGAAACAAAAGCAGAUUUUCCUAAAAGCAAAUGUGCCAACCUCAAAGGCUCUUUCUUCUCCACUCCAUCAUUCAAAAAAUGCUUGAUCCACCCAUUUAAUCUCAAAACCUCUUUUUUACACUUUGGUCCUUCCACACCAACAAUCUUUGAAUAAAACCCUCCUUCACAGUGACAAGAAUCACAAUCAUUAUCAUCAUCCUCAUCAUCAAAAUCAAAACCACCCCUUUUUUCCUCAUUCAUUCCUAAUAGCAUCAUUAACCGUUCAAUUUCAUCAACAUCUUCUUGAACUUCAUUUACAAUUGUAGGGUCAUCUAAAGGGUCUUGAUGGGUCAGUGAGAAUCCUUGAGAAAUUGAGAGAAACUCUUGAGGAGGUUCACUGCUUUCUUGGGUUUGACAUGUUUGGCUACAACUUGGUUGAAGGAAUAAAGGUGAACCCAAUGUUGAUACAAAGUUGCUUUCUUGUACUUGGUCAGAUUCUGUUGUUGUUUUUGUUGUGUUCUCUAAUUUUAUCCUUUUUUCAACCUGAGUAACAAAUUAAUCAAUUAAUUCAUUAAAACAUUCUUAAGAACAACAUUUUAGGAUGUUGAAAUUGUGAUUUCAUACCUGUUUUAACGAUGAGAAGAAUUUGGAAUGCGAAGACAUUGAUAAUGGUUCAGUUUUUUUGUCCUUUUUGUUUAUUUAGAAUUUAUGAUCAAUAUAUAACUUCCUGAAACGCGCACGGACACUCCUCACAUUAGGCGCGACACUUAUGAUUAUAUUAAAUUAUUUCAUUUUUAAAAUUAUUAUCGGUGUAUGAUCUCGGAGUGAGUGUCCGCAGUAGUGCAUUAUAAUAAUUACGUAUUUAUCAUUCAUUUAUUUUAUUAGUUCAAUUUCAGUAGCAUAGAUUAUGCGAAAAUUAGUGCUGAUAAUGUAAAAUUGGGAGAACAAAAUGACACUUGAACAAUGUAAGAAAAGCACUAACAUUCACUUGCAUACAACACAUGAUAAUAAUUCACAUUCCCUGAGGAAAACAUUACAAUAAGGUAUACUGAACAGAAAACACAAGACCGCGCUCACUCGCUCACUUUCCGGGAACAAAGUUGGUGGCAAAAGCCCAAGCGUUGUUGUUGACUGGGUCAGCAAGAUGGUCAGCAAGGUUCUCCAAAGGACCCUUUCCGGUCACAAUAGCCUGGACAAAGAAUCCAAACAUAGAGAACAUAGCUAACCUACCGUUUUUGAGUUCCUUAACCUUUAAUUCUGCGAAAGCUUCUGGGUCGUCAGCUAGGCCUAAUGGGUCAAAGCUGCCACCUGGGUAAAGUGGGUCAACUACUUCACCAAGAGGCCCACCUGCAAUACGGUAUCCUUCAACUGCGCCCAUCAAGAUAACUUGAGUGGCCCAGAUGGCAAGGAUACUUUGAGCGUGGACCAAACUUGGGUUGCCCAAGUAGUCAAGUCCACCCUCGCUAAAGAUUUGAGAUCCGGCCUUGAACCAAACAGCCUCACCGAAUUUAACACCGUUGCGAGACAAAAGCUCCGGGAAAACACAUCCCAAGGCUCCUAACAUAGCCCAUCUAGAGUGGAUAACUUCAAGCUCACGGUUCUUGGCGAAUGUCUCUGGGUCAGCAGAAAGUCCAGCAGUGUCCCAACCGUAGUCACCUGGGAACUCUCCAGUCAAGUAAGACGGGGGCUCACCAGAGAAUGGGCCUAAGUACUUAACACGGUCUGGGCCGUACCAUGGGCUUCCAGAGGAGGCUACUUUCUUGGUGGUAGCACCCUUCCUCAUGGUAAACUUUGCAACUCCCAAUUCUUGGCUUGAGGGGGUCAGCUUGACUGGCUUGCCAGCCAAGGCAGGUGAAGUGAGAGCCAUGGAUGAUGCGGCCAUUUUUUUUUUGCAACGAAAUCAAAAUGCUUGUUCUGUUUUGAUAUUUGUACUCUUAUGAAUGGUGAUUUGGUAAGGUGAACAUAGAUGUUUAUUUAUACUAGAGAUGAAGUUGUUAUGCUCUUAUCUUGUAUUAUCCAAAGCUACAUUCUCAUUGGAAGUUGGAGAUUUUGAUGCUACACUUGGCACUUCUCUAAUCCAUUAAUGGGUUAGAUUCUUUAAAUGAUAUGUAACCAAUAUAACCAAUGUUGGUGCUCCAUGUGUAAAUGUGGGAUUCCUANNNNNNNNNNNNNNNNNNNACAAAUUGUGAAAAGAACUAAGUUAGGGUUGAUGGUUACACAUAAUGGAUCAGUCAAGUUUAAUUCAUGAGGUAGUUAUUGAAUAUAGUUAUAAUCUGGUUUGUUAAUUGUAUGUAAUACAUAGAAAUGUUUAGUCUUACAAGUUACUUGUUGGCUAGUAUUGUUUAGGACAUUAUUUUCAAUAACAAAAAAUCAAACAGUUUCACACCCUCAGGAUUUAUUAAGUUAUAAUGCAAGAGGUACUUAAGGAUAAUUGCAUUGAGUUAUACUGUUAUAAUAUAAUAGUUGAAUAAUCUAUGUUUCAUAAGUAUAGUUCAUAUGGUAAAAAUCGGUUAAUAUAUUUGAAUGCUGGAGUGAGAAUUCGAACACGCAAUGUCCCUCUUCUUACUUUAUGUGUGUGAGUUUUGUCGUUAGACUCUUUAAAUCAAAGAAAAAAAAAUAUAAGAAAUGAUACAAGUUAUUAGUAGUGGUCCUGCUUUUUGCUGCACUUGUUGAUAGUAUUUUUACCAUGUUUCCCAUUUUACAGUUCAUUUAGCAUAAAUGACUUAUCCAAAAUCUAAGAUAGCACUUUCUUAUUGGAUGAAGUAGGUGUGUGUGAUAUCUCUAUAUGGUAUAGUUUGUUAGUAAGGGGGAUAGAGAUAAAAAUUAUAUAUAAGUGAUAUUUAUUAGGACAAAUGAGACAUAAGUUGUUACCACUAGACAAAUGAGAUUAUUUUGUCUUGCUCUUGCAUAUUAUUAUUAUUAUUAUUAUUAUUUAAUUUGGAUAUUGAAAUAUUAUUAUGUGAAUCUGUGACAGAUGGAUGGAUAUUGAAGAGCAUAUGGUUUGAAAUUAGUUGAGUAAUCAUGUUCCAUCUAAUUUGAUAUUUAGAAUCCUUCUGUUGAAUAGUCUACCAAUGAAAAAACAUGAAAUAAUUAAGUACCAAACUUAGUAAAAAGUACAUUGAUACAUCUUGAGCCUUCCAUAAGACAAGAGGUUUUUUACAAAAGAAAAAUAAAUGAAAGUUAACACAGCUUAAUUAUACAUCAAAGAGCAUAAUUCUUUGUGAUUAAAACAGUAUAAUGAUGCAGAAGUUAUAAGUUUAAUUUAUGUCCACAAUUCUUCUUGUGUACCUUAUCUGUUAUAGUUAACAAUGUUAUCAAGCUUUUAUUUUUUGGUGAAUAUGUUAGUAUGUUACCAAGCUACUUUUGCUUUAUUCUCCUAAUCAAGCAAGCUUCUCUAGGCUUUGCUAAGUAACUCUUUGUUGACAAGAUUGGAAUUGUUGGUAAUCUUCAAGGUUAAAAUGUGAUUAUUCUAUCAAUUUAUUCUGUCAUAUGUCUCAUUUUUACGAGGGUUGGAUGAACAAUCAUCAAGUUAAAAUCAUAUUGAAUUAAGGAGAUUGACGAUUAAUAGCCAACAAGUUAACUCAACUAAGGUUGUUAGAUCUGGGUUUUUACGUCAACUUAUUUUGACUAAGUGGAUUCAAAAUUUAUUUUAAGUUUAAUUUUGAGUAUAAUCUGCAAUUAAUAAUUUUAUUUUUAUUUUAGAAAUUUAAAUGUUAUAAAUAAUAAUUAAAUAAAAUAUGAAAAAAUUAAUAUAUUAUUAAUUUAAAUUAAAAAUAAAUUUUAAAUAUUAGAUAAUUACACUUAAUUGAUUUUCUUUCAUUCACAUUAAGUAAAUAUGACUAUAGUCAUACGUUUCAAUAACAAAUAACACAACAAUUAUAUUCUCAUCAAUAUAUUUUGUAAAUAAAUAAUACCUCUCUCAUUUUUUUCACGUAUUAAUAUAACUCUUUAAAUCAUGCAUGUCAUGUGAGAUUGAAUAUUAUAUAAUAUAUAUGAUUGAAGUACAAAGUGAUUGUUUAUAUAAAAAAAAUUCAAAGUGAUUGUAUAUUUUAACCUCUAUUGUUUUAUUUUAUUUUUAUGAAACCCCUAUUAUAUUAUAUAUCUUUUUUUUUUUUACAAUAUUUAUGUAUCUAUUGUUUAUAAAAUUACUUAUGAUAUUUAAAUGUCUAUAUAACUUAACUCAAAUGGCACAGAUAUCGAAAUUGUUAGGUCAUAUCAUACAUCAUUUCGUCUAUCUAUAAAAAAAUUAUUAUAUUUAAAUAAUCCCAUAAUAUUUCGCAAUAUUAUAUAAUUUGAUCAAAAUAUAAUUACUUAUUUGUGUUUGUUUCUCACUUGUUUUCAUCUAUUCUUUUUGUAUUUUUUAUUUAUUUAUUUUUGCACACUUGCAUAAAAAUAUGAGACAUUCUUCCGUUCAUCCGUUUUAUUUAUAAGCAAAAAUUCUCUUAUUAGGAUCAUACACCUUGCUUGUAACCUAAGAAAAUACAUUUUUUUAGCUCUAGGAGCUAAUUUAUGUAACCGUAAAGUUAAUGCAUAUGCUAGUAUGCUAAUGAACCAAAAACUUUUAAAAGUUUGAUGUCAAGUAAUUCUUUGUGUUAUUAAUUCAUAAGGAGAUUUGUUUAGUAAAACAGUAGAAGACAUUAUGUUGAUUAUAUAAGUAACAUGUUGAACAGCAUAAGACAAAAAAAAUUAGGUGAGUGCUUGGUAUAGAAAAGCUCCGCCAACAUUUAACAAGUGUUGGUACUUUCUUUCCACCCUACCAUUUUGUUCAGGUGAUUCAACACAACAUAUGUUGAUGCUUUCUUUCCAUCCUACAAAGGCAUUAAAAACUCUGCACCAUUACCGGUUCUGACUAUUUUAAUUUUAGAAUUGACUAAAAAAAAAAAACUUUAGAAUUGUGUUUUAUGAAAUCAAUAACAUGUUGUCUUGUCUGUGAUUUAUGUUUCAUUAGAACUAUCCAUGUAAACUUGUACCAAAAAACUUGUACCAAAAAAAGAAGAAGAAUUAUCCAUAUAAACCUCCUGGAAUCAUGAGCUACGGUUAAAAAAAUAAGCAUUUGUGUAUAGAUUUUGAUGCAAUAUGAUCCCAUAUAUCAAAAUGAAUUAACUCAUAAGGAACAAAAACUUUAUUCAUACUAACAUUAUAAGACAAUUUUAUGUGUUUAGAAAGGUGACAAAUGUCACAAAUGUAAGAGUUCAGGGUCGAUCUUAGCGGUACCGGCACUGCCACCUUACGAUCUUCUCCAUCCUCUCUCUAGUGAGUUUUUGUCUUCCUUGAAAUCGAACCAUGUACACUGAGAUUAAAGUACAAGUUCAAUUCAUUCUCACUAUCAAUUGAACUAUAAAUUAUAAAUUAUAAAAUUGCAUUUUGUUCCUCCUUCAUUUCCCUUUUCUUCCUACCUCAAUUGGAAAAUUAAAACCGCAUAAAUUAGAAAUUAAAUUAAUGACAACUCUUAAACCUCAUUUCAUUAAAUAUGUAGGGGCUGAGGUUUGAACUCCGAUCAUCCUACUUAUUCAUCUUAAGAGUGAAAUUUCUAGCUAUAUUGACCAAAAAAUAUAUAUAUAUCCUAAAUUUGAGAUUAAAAAAAAAGUAAAUAUACAAAUUUUCUACCAAUUUUUCUUUACACAUUUUUAGCGUUUUUUUUUUUUUUUGACAGUAACAUUUUUAGCUUUUANNNNNNNNNNNNNNNNNNNNNACUCUUGCGGAUAAAUAAAUAUAAAAACAGAGAAAAAUAGAAAAUUAAAACCCUAAAACAACAAAACUCAUCAGCUUUGCUGUAUCUGAAACAAGUUGGAGAGUCGUACUUAACUCAACUCAACUCGCCGGAAAAACCGCCGGAUUUGCUCAUCGGCGCCAGAAUAAGUGAGUAAACUGUCCAGGCCUUUCCUUUUUACUUCAUUUUAGCGAUUCUCUUUCCCCUCUGCUAUACCACGCGCGAAGAUGCGAUUCCGCCGCGAUUUGCGGCCGCGAUACCCGCCAUGCGCCGGUGCUUCAACUGCGUCUCAGCCGAGCAUCACUCCGGCAUGCUGGACAUUCGAUUUUUAGUUGCCGUUAUUUUUAAUUCUUGUGCGGCAUUGAUAUUAGUAGUUAACUAGGGUUUAGUAGGAAUAUAUAAUUUGAUUAAUUCGGACAUUAUACCAUGCGUUUCAAAUCAAUCAAUCAAUUAAUCAAUCUUUCUGGUGCAGCGGUAGAAAAGUCCUAAUCUUUUGGGAUGGGAUGGGGUGCACUGAUUCAUAGGAUUUUGGAAGAAUUUUCAUUUUUUAGCGUAAACUAACUCAUUCAUUAGCUUGUACAAAGAUAGGUUACAAUCAGAUUACAAAGAUGUGUAGGGAUAUUCUCCGUUCUAAAACUAUGACCAACAGCUAAAGGCAUGUUUGGAUUGACUUAUUUGAACUUAUCUACUGGGGUAAACACUUGUGAGAUAACAACUUAUGACAUUUUCAUAAGCUGUUUUCAGUUUAUUUCCAUAAGCUCUUAUACAAAAACAUUCUUUAUAUAAGCUGCAAAAUAAGUUGUUUAUGCAAACAAGGCCUAAGUCAAGAUUGUGCAUUGUUGAAUAAUGAGAGUAAAUAUUUUAAUUAAGCACAUAUUUAUCAUUUACAUAGGAGUUCAUGUAGUGUAAGCUAGAUUUACUUUUACAUUACAAUCGAAUAGUAAAUAAGGGCAAACUAUUUUGUACUCCCUCCUUCCCAUAUCAAGGUUGUGGCACGGUCCUUAAGAAAAGUUGUUAAUAGUGUAGAAAUUAUAUAAAGUGUUGUGUAAUGUACAAUCAUACCCUUUAUAUAUUCUCUUGAAUAGUUAUUUUAUCAUUUAUUUGAUCAAAAAGCACAAUAAAUAUGAAUAUGCGUAUAGGUCAGAAAAUUAUUUACUGUUUCAUUGGAUAUGUAAAAUGGCAAUCAAAUUGAGACAGUUUGGUUUUUUAAGAACAUAUAAAAUGGGACGGCGGGAUUAUUAAUUACUUCACAAUAAUAAUCGUACAAUAAAGUGGUACUAGGGCAUACUUCUCGCUCUAUUUCUUGAGGGUUUUCAAUCAUUUGAGCUGUUGCUCAAUGCUGCAGGCUGUCAUCGUAAUUUCUGUUUAGGUUAAUUUGCUUCUCUCUCUAAUUUAAAAUAUUAGUUAUAUUUCAUUGGAAACUUGUGAAUUUGUUUAUAUGGUUUGUUUGUUUUGUUAUUUUAACUACCAUUGGGAUCUUGGGCAAAUUCUUAUAUUUCUUUUCAUCUUCCUUUCAUUUCAUUGUUUGAACUUGAUUUAGUUGAAUAAUUCAUUAGCAAAGCUAAAGCCUUUUCUUUUUGUAACAUCUAUAAACUUUUUCAUCUAUUUUAUUUUUACGUACCCUUCACAGGUUUUUGGUGAAAUUACUACUUCAUCUUCAUGGCUAAUAAUCCAUCACAGCUUCUCCCAUCAGGUUUUUUUUUAUUUCACUAUCUCACUCCAACCAUUUUUGCGAAAUCCAAUAUAGCUUUGAACAAAGUUUAAGAUAACAUGUCAUUUUGUGCUUAAAAUAUGCAGAGCUGAUUGACCGCUGUAUAGGUUCAAAAAUAUGGGUGAUAAUGAAAGGUGACAAGGAGCUUGUUGGUACUCUUAGAGGCUUUGAUGUGUAUGUCAACAUGGUCCUUGAAGAUGUUACCGAAUAGUAAGAGCUGCACUACCACAUUUUAUGCUUUUAUCUGCAAAUCUUUCCGAUGUUCUGUUUUUUAUAUUUAUAUUUAUAUUUACAUGCACAUUUGAUUGUUUUUCUGUUAAACACGUGUUUGUUGGGUAGGAAGAUAGAAUAGGACCAGAUUUACAUGUUUGUUUAAGGAUGCAUUUAUUUCAUGUGCGGACUCGAUGCCCCAAACUUUUUAAAAUACACUUCUAACUGGAAUUGUUAUACUACGUUAAUUUCAAUAAUUAACAGUUUUUCCCUAACUUUUGUGAGUGCUUACAUUUAAUUUGAAUCGGCAUGAUGUCGGAGAAGUCAAUUAUACUUUUUUCCCCAACCUUUAUGAAAGUAGGUUUACUUUGGGAAGAAAAGAUGGGCAAAACUGAAAUUGAUUUUGAUUUGUUCUGGGUCUCUAUAGUAAAUAGUGUAUUUUGAACUAUAGUAGGUCAUUUGUAAAUGGGUGAUUUUGAAUUUAAGGAAUGUAAAAAUCCUGGUUUGAAAUUCCAGUUGUUUAGGAAGGUUAACACUUUAGUUAAGAUUUGAGAAAGUGAAAGGCUCCUUAUAUACUGAUUUAUAUGAACAAGUAUCUUAAUUUCAAUGUCUGUGUGCUAUGAAUAACCAGAGGCAACUAAAAUUAUAACCAUAUUGUGAACACAGUAGAAUUUGUUCAGAGCCACCAUGAUCCUUGACUUCGCACUUGAUUGUUAUUACCAAUUACCCAUCUCCAGUCGAUACAAGAGGAGCUACCA
Molecule: long non-coding RNA, 51756 nt
Filed under: Trifolium pratense (red clover)
Lineage: Eukaryota; Viridiplantae; Streptophyta; Magnoliopsida; Fabales; Fabaceae
Description: long non-coding RNA (TPRA_LNC000112)
Rfam family: tRNA (bases 19207-19278)
Source: RNAcentral